Molecule: long non-coding RNA, 78241 nt
Filed under: Citrus x clementina
Lineage: Eukaryota; Viridiplantae; Streptophyta; Magnoliopsida; Sapindales; Rutaceae
Description: Citrus clementina (C. clementina) long non-coding RNA (CCLE_LNC002481)
Source: RNAcentral
AAAAAUCUUCAACUCCUUCGAGAAUGUGGAAUAGAAGGGCUGGGUAAUGUGUCCCAUUUAGAUGAGGCCGAGAGAUUACAACUUUACAAUCAGCAAAACCUCCUUCGUUUGCGUCUUCGGUUUGGUGGAGUCGUAGAUGGGGAAGAUGAAGAAAGGAGGAGGAAGAAUGAUAAAGACAAACAACUUCUUGAAGCUUUACAACCGCCUUUGAGUGUAGAGGAAUUAGGGAUUGAAUCCUAUGGAGGCGACAUUUUUCCCAAAUGGUUGACUUCACUAACCAAUCUAAGGAAUUUAACACUUUCCUCGUGCGCUAACUGUGAGCAUUUGCCUCCUUUGGGAAAAUUGCCUCUGAAAAAACUCGAACUACUCGACUUGGAAAGUGUAAAAAGAGUGGGUAAUGAGUUUUUGGGAAUAGAAGAAAGCAGUGAGGAUGACCCAUCUUCAUCUUCAUCGUCACCAUCAGUUAUUGCCUUCCCCAAAUUGAAAUCACUCGAAAUUGACGGAAUGAAAGAACUGGAAGAGUGGAAUUACAGGAUUACGAGGAAGGAAAACAUCUCCAUCAUGCCCCGUCUUUCUUCCUUGCAAAUUAUGAAUUGCCGCAAAUUAAAGGCGCUGCCGGAUUACCUUCUUCAAACGAUAGCACUGCAGAAACUGGGUAUUUAUUAUUGUGAUCUUCUAGAAGAACUGCCCAUUCUAGAAGAUCGCAGGACAACAGACAUACCACGUCUUUCUUCCUUGGCGAUUUGGUAUUGCCCCAAAUUAAAGGUGCUGCCGGAUUACCUCCUUCGAACGACGACGCUGCAGGUAUUGAGUAUUAUGGAAUGUCCUCUUCUAGAAGGACAUUAUAGAGAGGGCAAAGGAGAAGACUGGCAUAAGGUAUCUCACAUUCCCUGCAUCAUGUGGUUGCCGUCGUUGUAAGAUAUCACUCGCUGGUAAUUUCUCCUCCUCCUCUGAUUUACUUCGUUGUUGCUUGCAAUGAAAUUAAUAAAAAUAAUUAUAUUUUGAAUUAAAAUUCUAUAUAGAAUCAAUCAUGGUAUAAAUAUGUAAAACUUCCUAGUUAUUAAAUCUGUUUAACUUGUUUUCUAAAGAUUAAAUUAAAAAAAAGUGUAGUCUGUUGAAAUUUCUAUAUUUACUUCUAAAAAAUAUGUGCUCUUUUGUAAAAUUUCAUACCACAUCAUAGAAAAUCCCAAUGUAAUUUAUUUUUUAAUGUACAAAAAUUUGUUAUGUGUAACUUCCUGAGAGGCAAAAUCUCUGGGAUACAUUUGCAAUAAUGUUGAAAAAUAAAUUAUCAAUUUUAUCUUGUAUAAUGAUAAUCAUAUUUUUUUAUAUAUAAUUUAUGUGACAUUAAUUCUUUAAAGUAAUUGUGUAAUUGUUUUUAGUAGUACAUUAGCCCACUUUAUUUUAUUUCAUAUGAGUUUAAUUAUGUUCACCAGGGAUUCGAGGAAAUGUCAGAACUACACUAGCAAUUCACAGGUCCAAUCUAAUUUGGUUUUAAUGAUGCAGGCAGGAGAGCAAGACUAUGAAAAUGAAAAGUUUAGCCAAAGGAUUGCUAAAAUGUUCUGCUGGUAAUUCACUUGCUUUAUUUUAUAGAAUUUCAUUUCCAUCUUCUUCUAUUGAUAUCUUGUUGUGAAUAAACAAGAACAGAGAAGUAAAUGAUUGAACCACAGAGAAGUAAAGAUAUAUCCAAAUUCGAUUAUUAUGAUGAUUAAAGCAAGCUCAAGCUCAAGCAUUGCAUUUUUUAUUUUAUUUAGUUUAUAGAAUUUUCAUUUCCACCUGCAUUUCAUUUUUAUUUCAUUUUUAGGUUGACGUUGAAGACUCUAUGGAGAACAUUGGGGUAACCAAGGAUUAUCACUGUGGUUAUUGUGCAACGUUUGGUUGCGGGACUUUGGAGAAGGAAGUGAUGGCCGGGUCUGCUCUGUUUCAAUUGAGGAUGGACAGCUGCCUGAAAGACAUGAUGAUUAUUAUUGCACGAUGUUAAGGUGCUAAGAUCAUCAUUUCUAUCUUGCUUCAUUCUUGGAAUCAUUUAUCCUAUAUAAACAUAUUGAAUUGUGCUAAUAUUAUCAUAUGCGUCAAUGGAGGCAGGAAUUUGGUGUUGACACUAUUAUACAGGUAACCACACUUCAUAGUUUGCACAAAUUUGCGUUGUCAGAAUAUCCUUUAAUAUUCAUUGUGUUUCUGUGUGUUAUCAGGUUAUCAUCUCCAAGGGUUUGAAAGAGCCUUUGCAGUAAAGUCAGUUGUCACCAGCUCGUGCAAUUGCGCAUUCAUUCAUAGUACUUCAAUAUUGGGUUUUCAAGUUUUGUAUGUUUAGUCGAUUAAAAUGUUUAGUCAAUCAUUCUUAAUCAUUUCUGAUUUUCAAGUUCUUUAGGGCCAUAAACAGUUUUUCAAACUCAUUCUUAUUUUUUAGGUUGAUUUCCUACUCGUGGAAGUCCAAGGAUUAGGCUGGCGAUGGAACUACUACCUCUGUUGUUAUUGUGCAAGGUUUGAUCGCUGGACCUUGAACAAGAAAGCCUUACAUGCAUUCUGUAAUUGAAGCGUUCUCUAAAGCAAAAGAGCAGUAGAAGGAAUAGUGAUGGCCGGAUAUGCUCUAUCUUAAUUGAAGAUCUCUGUGAUGUUGAGGAGCUAAUGAUUGUUAAGGCGUAUUUUCAUGAACUUCCUUUCUUAACAAAUGUUUCAAUGCUGGCUGUAGUAACAAUUUCAUAUCUUGCAUCUCUCGGGUGCAUCAUGUUCACAGGUUUGAAAAAGCAUUUGUGGUAAUGCUUUAAAGCUUGUACAAUGGCUGUGAAAAGGCACAUUCAAUUAGGUACGUUUUGGUGCGGUCUCCCAAUGCUAAUAUUAUAUUUUGUAUAGCAAUUAAAAUUUAGCUAUACAAUUUUAAUAUGCAAUAAAUCAUUGUAUACAAAGUUUUCUAUUAAUUAUAUGGUGACUGAAAUUUUAAUUAUCAUAUCAAUUUAAAUUUUUUUGUAACUCUCUUUUACUUUGCUUGUACAGAGUACCUGUUUUGGUUGAUAUGUCUAAUUUGUAGAAAUUCAUUUCCAUCGGUUUCCAUUGGCUUUAGCACAAACCGAAACAGAGCUCUGGGGAAAAGUUUUACUUCUUGUGAUAUUAUGCCUUUGUUUCUUCAUUCAUCAUAUUUUUCGAAUUCAUGCUCUCAUUCAGAGGGUAAAGCCUUUUCCAGGCUGCUUUGUAGCCAAACUUUGACGCCUUUGAUGCAUGACUGUCAUUCUUUUUCUUGGUUAUUCAAACUUUCAGUUAUAUAUUAUGUGAAAGAUUCUUUUUCUUAUUAAAGUACAUUGUUGGUUUUUUCUUUUUCCUUCAUUUUGUCUGAAUUAAAGCUAAAAUUGUAAGUUUUUUUUUAAUUGGAAAAUAUUAAUAUUUCAUUAAACAAAUAACAACAAUACAACUACUUGCAGUACAUCACUAGUUCACAUUACAAAGAUUAAAAUACAGAGAUCUGUUUUAGUUACAGAGAUCUAUUACAGUAAUCAAUUGAAUUAACCCCUAAAAGUUUAUUAAAGAAUAGGAAGAAACACAUGUACACUAAAAGAAAAACUUCCAUUCGUAAUGCACAUAUAAUUCAAGCUCCAUUUGGGGUUCCAUGGCUCUUUCGAAAUUAUCUCCACCACCAUAUUUAUGCUUUCCAGCUAGUACCAAAAUAGAUUUACCGUAAAAAUUGAUUCACACCCUCUAACUUUACAAACAUGAGAAACAUAGACUCUAGAUCUAAAAGUUGAAGGGUUAUGUACUGGCAAAUAGAAAUUAAACCAACAUUAUCACUAUAACAGAUACAUUAUUACCAUCAAAGAUCAAGAUCUGAAUGGAUGCACAGCAGCCAUCGUCAAGACCAAAAGAGGAAGAAAUUGAAAUAGAACAACCACCUUAAGGUGGAGAAGGCCAGAACAAGACACCCAUCCUCAAAUCAUAUGGAAGAGGUGGGUGCAACCAAAAAAAAAAAAAAAGAGAGAAUCCACUGGAGAAGGCAAGAAAGAUUUCUGCCUCCAAAGAUUUGGUGAGGAAGAGAUGAGGAAUUUGGAGAGGAAAAGUUUCGGAGAGAUCUAGAGUUUGGCUUUAAAAAUGUGUUUUAAAGAAAAAGUUGUUGAGAGGAAACGAGACCAAUUAGAUCAUGCAAGAAGUUAAUUUUUUUUAAAUAAAAAAGGAGAAAUGAUGAUCUUACAAAGUUUGAAUAUAAAGUUUAAAAUCUAAAAUUAAUGACUUGACAAUCGAUGCAUUAUUAGCCUAAUAGAGUAAGAAGUCCCUGCUAAAGAAUUCAAUAUUCUACCCAGAAUACUUCUUUCUAUUGCAAUUAAAUGAUGAUUAUUUGUUUUUAUCAUGAAAGCUAAAAUAACUUUGUGAGUAAUUUGAUCCUUUUGCAGUAUAAAAAUAAAUUCAGAAAUGGGCACCAUUCUUCCUUUGUUUAAAUCAUGGUCUCCACGGAAGUAAAAUUUUGGUUACUACACGUAAUGAGUUAGUUGCACGUAUGAUGGGAUCAACAAAUAUUAUCUUCAUUGAGCAAUUGAUUGAAGAGGAUUGCUAGUCGGUUUUCAAGCGAUUAGCAUUUUUCGGUCACUCUUUCGAGGAUUGUGAAAGAUUAGAACCAAUCGGCCGAAAAAUUGCACGCAAGUGCAAAGGCCUGCCUCUUGCUGCAAAGGUAAUAAGGAAUCUCUCGCGUUCAAAAAGUGCAAUAAACGACUGGCAAAGAAUUUUAGAUAGUGAAAUGUGGAAGGCAGAAGAGAUUGGGAAAGGUCUUUUGACUCCUUUAUUGUUGAGUUAUAAUGAUUUGUCGUCCAAUUCUAUGGUAAAACAAUAUUUUUCAUUUUGUGCUGUCUUUCCGAAAGACUACAAUAUGUAUAAAGAGGAGCUAAUUUCACUAUGGAUGGCUCAAGGUUACCUUAAUGCAGAAGAAUAUGAAGAGAUGGAGAUGACUGGGGAAGAGUGUUUCAACAUUUUAGCAACACACUCUUUCUUUCAAGAGUUUGAGAAAAAUGAUGAUGAUGAUAUUAUGAGUUGCAAGAUGCAUGACAUAGUACAUGAUUUUGCUCAAUUUGUAAGUAGCAAAGAAUGUUUGUGGCUAGAAAUUAAUGGUACCAAAGAAUCAGUCAUAAACUCUUUUGGUGGGAAAGUCCGUCCCUUAGGUUAAAGUUUAAAGGAGGCGCUUUAUUUCCUAUGUCCAUUCAUGGACUUAAUAGAUCGCGUACCCUCCUAAUUGAUUAUGAAAGUCCUUCCAAUUCGUCUCUUGAUAGUAGCAUCCUUCCUGAGUUAUUUAGUAAAUUGGCAUGUUUAAGAGCAUUAGUUAUAAGGCAAUCAUUCUUGCUUUGUCGUCCUGACCCAAAUUUGAUUAGAGAAAUUCCAGAAGAUGUCGGGAAAUUGAUGCUUUUAAAAUAUCUUAAUUUGUCUGAAUUACACAUAGAGAGACUGCCUGAGACUUUGUGUGAAUUAUAUAAUUUACAAAAGCUAGAUAUUAGGGGGUGCCGAAAUCUAAGAGAAUUGCCUGCAGGGAUUGGGAAGUUAAAGAACAUGAGGAGUUUGCUAAAUGGUCUUACUUGUUCGUUGAAGUACAUGCCAAUAGGAUUUUCCAAAUUAACCAAUCUUCGAACAUUAGACAAGUUUGCUGUGGGUGGAGGUGUUGAUGGUGGCAGUACGUGGAGGCUUGAAUGUCUGAAAAAUCUUCAACUCCUUCGAGAAUGUGGAAUAGAAGGGCUGAGUAAUUUGUCACAUGUAGAUGAGGCUGAGAGAUUAGAACUCAAAAAUAUGGAAAACCUCCUUCGUUUGUAUCUUUUGUUUGAAGUUGUAGAUUGGGAAGAUAAAGAAGAGGAUGAAGAUGAAGGUGGGGAAGAUGAAGGUGAGGAUGGGGGAUAUGAAGAAGAAGAAGGAGGUGAAGUUGUAAAUGGGGAAGAUGAAGAAAGGAGCAGGAAGAAUGAGAAAGAUGAACAACUUCUUGAAGCCUUACAGCCGCCUUUGAAUGUAGAGGAAUUAUGGAUUUUAUUAUAUGGAGGCAACAUUUUUCCCAAAUGGUUGACUUCGCUAACCAAUAUAAGGAAUUUAUUUCUUCACAGGUGUCUUAACUGUGAGCAUUUGCCUCCUCUGGGAAAAUUGCCUCUGGAAAAACUCGCCCUGCAAAAUUUGAAUAGUGUAAAAAGAGUGGGUAAUGAGGUUUUGGGAAUAGAGGAAAGUAGUGAUGAUGACCCGUCUUCAUCUUCAUCAUCAUCAUCAGUUAUUGCCUUCCCCAAAUUGAAAUCACUCAAAAUUUGGGACAUGGAAGAAUUGGAAGAGUGGGAUUACACGGUUACGAGGAAGGAAAACAUCUCCAUCAUGCCACGUCUUUCUUCCUUGGAAAUUGAUUGUUGCCCCAAAUUAAAGGUGUUGCCAGAUGACCUUCUUCAAACGUCGACACUGCAGGAAUUGAGUAUUGGGGGAUGUCCUAUUCUAGAAGACUGGCAUAAGAUAUCUCACAUUCCCCACAUCGAGUUUUAAAUUCUCGAACGGUUGCAAUUACUAUAACCCGCCGGUAAUUUCUCCUCCUCCUCUGUUUUGCUUCAUUGUUACUUGUAAUGAAAUUAAUAAUAAUAAUGAUAAUAAUUAAAUUUUGAAUUAAAUUUCUAUAUUUUGCCAAUGUCUCAUAGGAAUGUGCAAUAUUUUCUAAUAUUUUGAUUUUUGUAUUGAAUAUAACUAUUUACUUCAGUGUACGAUAAUUUGUUACGUGAAACUUCUUGAGAGACUGAAUUUCUGGGGUACUUUGUAGUAAUGUUGAAAACUAAGUGAUGGCUGGGUCUGCUCUGUUUCAGUUGAGGAUGGAUUGCUGCCUGGAAGACAUGCUGAUUAUUAUUGCAUGAUAUUAAGGUGCUGAGAUCAUCAUUUCUAUCUUGUUUCUUUCUUUGAACGGUUUAUCCUCUAUAAGCAUAUGGAAUUAUGUUAGUAUUAUCACUUCUUCACCCAAUUUUCACUGUUGGUUGUAAUAACCAUUUCAGGUUCUCAAAAGCUACAAAGCAAAGCAUCUUUGGGCUGAUCAUAUAUUUCAAUUGACGAAGGAAUUCGAUGUUGGCACUAUUAUGCAGGUAACCAGAGUUGAUAAUUUGUACAAAUUUGCAUUGUCAGAAUACCCUUCAUAUUCACCGUGUUUCUUUGUGUAGGUAUGUAGAGUAUCAUCUUCAAGGGUUGUAAGAGCCUUUGCAGUAAAUUUAGCUGCUAGUGCAAUUGCUCAUUCAUCGAAGUACAAUUUUGGAUUUUCAAGGUUUGUAUGCUCAGUUGUAAUUAAAAUGCUUAGUCACUUAUUCCUAAUCUUUCUGAUUUUCAAGUUAUUUUAGGUCCAUAAACAGUUUUCACACAUGUUUCAAUGCUUCUUGUAAUGACAAUUUCAUAUCUUGCAUCUCUAAUGUGCAUCAUGUUUGAAACAGCUUUCGCGGUAAAGUCUUCGAUGCUUGUACAAUGGCUGUGAAGAGGCACACUAAAUUCGGUACAUUUUGGUACGGCCUCCUAAUGCUGGUAUAAUGUUGUGUAUAUUUAGUUUGCAAUUAAAACUUAGGUAUACAAAUCUUAAUCUGCAAUAGAUCAUAGUGUACAAAGUUUCUAUUAAUGAUAUGGUGACUGAAAGUUUAAUUAUCUUAAAAUUUUUCUAUGACUCUCUUUUACUUUCUUUGUACAGAGUACUUGUUUUGGCUGAUGUGUCUAAUUCAUAGAAAUUCAUUUCCAUCGGUUUCCAUUGGUUUGAGCACAAACAGAAACAGAGGUCUGAGGAGAAGUUUCACUUCUUGCGGUAUUAUGCCUUUGUUUCUUUAUUCACCAUAUUUGUUCGAAUUCAUGCCCUCAUUAAGAAUUUAAAGCCUUUUCCAGGCAGCUUUGUAGCCAAAUUUUGAUGCCAUAAAUGCAUGAUUGUCAUUUAGAUUUUCCGAAUAUUUGUUAUUUGGAGAAAUAUUGUUAAAAGGGCAUUUGAUUAGCUACUUACCCUAUGAAUUUAGUUGCCAAUAAUAGAUUGAAAUUGAGUAGGCUAAUGGUUGAGGAAAGUUAUUGUCUUAAUUAAAUUACAGGUGAUAAGAUGUUGCUUGUGUAAUCAGAUAAAUGGGGCAAAUGUCAGAACAAAGAUUGUUCAGUGCUGCUGGUAGGGCAAGGAUGAUGAUGGUGAGGAAGAUUGUUCACAAGCCAAGUAGAGCCCUCCAUUUUGAGAAAUAUCAUCCUCAAAUUUGAAUUGUUGAGCAUAUGAAGUGAUGCUAAAGCCUUAAUAUUAAGUCUUUCUGAAAGUUUCAUUUGAAUGAAUUUUCGGAGAUUGAAUGUUCUUAGCGUGAGUAAGAAAAUUAAGCACAUAUCUGCGAUUUGGAUCGUCGGUGAAUGUUUUCCUUUAAUAUUUGUACAAACCCGUUUCUUAGUAAAAUUUUCUUCAUGUCUUUUACUAUGACAUAGGCUAAUAGCCGUACCACAUAACAUUAUCUUCUUAUUUCUUUAUGCUUGGUUUUGCUACAUAUAAGAAUGCAAUUUUGUAACUACUUAACUCUGCUUCGGCAAAGUUAAGUAGUUACAAAAAUUUUUUUUUUUCGUUUUUCUUUCUCCGAUAAAAUUGCCACAAAUGGAAGCGAUUGGCUUGAUUUUUGCUUCUGUAAAAAGUGGUGGGAGCAAUGUCUUGUGUACCCGCAAGUUAUAAAUCGUCAUAGUUUAAAUGACGAAUCCCGAGUUGCCAUCCAAACUAAAGAAAUUGCAAAUUAAGUAGUUCAUUACAAAUGAUAUAUUUUGAGUUGCUAAUUAUUAAGUAUUUCAUUCAAAAAUGUUCUCGUUCCCACAGUUUCUAAUGUUUAAAGUGCAUCAUUGCUCUACUUCCGUCAUAACAGCAUAAGAGAAUUUAACAUAAUACUGAGAAAAUGAUUAUUUUACCCUAAAUGUAAAUGAUUAUUCUACCCUUAACAUAAAAUAACUAAUUUGCCCUAAUUUAAUAACGAAAAAAAUAGAUGACUGCAAUAUAGAUAUUAAAUAAUAAAUAAAAUAAAAAAUAAGAAUUAAAACUAAAAUAAUUAAAAGAGAGCUCAAGAGAAAACGCACUUUAAUCUGGUACCUGUACCCGUGGAUCGUGGCGAUGGCGGAUUGGGGCUUAUUACCAAGUCGUUUAAGAAUUUUAAACUUUCAAAUUUUUUUUAAACCUUGAAUUUUUUAGUUUAUUGGUUAAGUGAUAAAAUUUGGUGGUAGUUUGAUACUGUGUUGUAUGUUGUGUUAUUUUAGCUCAUUAACUUUGUUAUGUAAUUCUUCUUUAAAUACGACGUCGUUUUUGUCCAUUAAGAGUCCAAUGACAAGUUUAUCAUUCUGACAUGAGUAAAAUUCUAACGGCGUGAUGACAAUAGUGUAGAAAUGAUAGAUUUUGUAAACAUCAGGUGGAAUUGUUAAAAAAAAAAAUGUGGUCGUGUAUUUUUUAUAAAGUCUAAAACAUCAAGUGAUUAGAGAAUAUUUGUGCUUAAGUAUUUGAUUCAAAAAAAUUUCCACUCCUAGACUAUUUAAGUUGUAACCAAAACUGAGAAUUUUUUUUUUUUUUUGCAUGAUGAAUCUCGAUAUUUAGGAUGAAUAUUUUAAUAUUUAAGCUUAAUGGUCACCCACUAUUGGUAGAAGAAUUUUUAUUCUAACACUAUACAAUUUUCGUGUGAGGUGGUCUUGGGCUUAUCUCAACCUUAAAAGUCAAAAGCUAGCUCAAUAAGUGAGAUUUUUUUCUCACACUUAUGAAAUCACCACGAGCUCCUCCCACAACCAAUGUGGGAUAAUCCCAACAAUCUCCCCUCACUCAUCGAGCCUUGGGUUGGAAGCAUAAACAUCAAUUCUCCCUAUUAGAUUGUUGGUUGAGUUGUUGGUGAACCUGAGCUUUGAUACUAAUGUUAGAUGGUCUUGGGCUUCUCUCGACUUCAAAAGCUAGCUCAAAGAGAGAGAUAUUCCCUCACAUUUAUGAGGUCAUUAUCAGCCUCUUCCACAAUCGAUGUCGGCUAACCCGACAUUUCUCUCUCUAUAUAAUACAUAAGUUGGAUAAUAAAUUUAUAUCUCAAUCUAGGUAUAAACAUUAAUUUUAUUUCUUUUUAUCAAUCAUUAUCCUAUUGGGUCUAUCGACUCACCGUACAAAAUGUUGUAAAACUUCCCCGCCGAAGAGACUUUGGUAGCUUUGAGUUUGUAAAUCAAGUUCCUAUCCGUCGUCCCUCCUAAUCCAUUCUUCGGCCAAGUACGCCUGACAUUCUUGUACCUUACAACGUCAUAUUUGGCACAAAAUUCAUGAAACUUAAACCAAACACUAAACUAUUAUUAGUUCUCAACAUUUUAUAUCAUUCGACGUUUUGUGUCAGAAUAAAUAUUUUAUCUUUGAACUUCUCAAGCACUUAUUCAUGGCUUAUUUCUCAACUCACUAUGGAUUAAUGAUGCUGAUGAAAUUGUGGAUUAACCAGACAAUAUUGUAAUUAUUACACAUACACACAAGCACACGUACAUACGUACAAAAGCAUAUAGGAGUUGACCUUGCUCAGGAUUUAAAAAAAAUGAAUAAAAUUUUCCAAUAAUUAAUUAAGAUAAAAAAGAUCAUUAAAACCCGAGUACCCCUCGCAAUUGUGUCACUUGAAUUCUCUGUAUUUAUGCACAUAUAAUAUUUUGAAUGAAUCUAUAAUGAUGUUAAUUUUUUAAUGAACUUAAUCUUAAAUUAAAAUUUUCUUUUGAAAAAAAAGAAGAAAUCUUAAAUAUUAUAAAAUAUAGAUCAGUUGGAAAACUAUUCCUAGAAAUGCAUCUUAGUUUUAUUCUUGGAAAAUGUUUCCUUUCGCACUUGCGAGGAAUUAGAAAUUGAACAAUAAUUUUUAGACUUUUCAUUGUCUUUGUGGUUAUAUGGUUGUCUUUAAUAUAAAUAUAUGAUCCCGGAGGCCAAAUGUCUAAGUCACAUGCAUUUACCUAAUACUUUUUUCUUUUUUCUUUGUUUUUCGGAUAGGGCAAUUAUUUAAUACCUUGAAGAAAGAGAGAUAAAAUAUAAUGCAUGCCAAUUUGUUGCAACAAAGCUUUCAUAUCAAGCGUUGGCAUAAAUUAUUAUGCCAAUUUGUUCAAGACAAUAUCUUUAGUUGGCAUGUAAGUUUCAUUAGCCGGCGUCUACUCUUAAUUUAUGUCAAAUUAAGUAAUCGCUCCGCCCCAAUAAUGUUGCCUUUGAUCUCUCAGCCCCAGUAAAAGAAUUGGCUAAAAGAGAAUGUUGGUCACUGUUUAAGCAAGUAUGCUUUUGGCGGUCCUUUGAGGAUCUUCAAAAUUUAGAACUAAUAACCAAUCAAAUGAAAAAUUGCAUACAAGUGUAAAAGCUUACCCCUUAAUGCAUAGGUAAUAGGAAUUCUCUUGCUCAACAUAUACACCCUUUUCUUUAUAAUCUUUUACUUUUGCUCUUAAGCUAAAGCAUUAAAAGGCCCAAUAUCCACUCUUUAUAUAUAGUAGUUUCUGGUCCGGGAUCAUAAAGUGCGGGAAAUAUUCGGAAAAAUUUUAAAAUCGUGGGGUUUUAAAUGCUUAAAACUUAAAGUGCUUAAACUGAACGGUUAAUAUGUUUUCCUGGACGUUCCCGCAUUUUAAAAUUCCGGACUGUAACAUUUCUCUCUCUCUCUCUCUCUUUAUAUAUAUAUAUAUAUAUAUAUAUAUAUAUAUAUAUAUAGGGAGAAUGCCAAUUUCCCCCCAUAUUGUAAUCAAUUUAUAUCAUUUAUGUCCUACUCUUAUAUAAUAGCCAAUAACUCCUGGAUAGCAUAAUAUAACAAUAUUAUCUUUAAUUUUAAAUACACUUUUAUUUAUAUUUAUUAUAAAUUAAAUAAAACAUGUGAAUGAAAACUAAAAUAAAUAUUAAAUAUUAAAAACAAUAAAUAUAUGUUUUGAUGUGAAUAAAAAAUUAAUAGUAAAAUAUUUUUCUUGUACUUCUUUUAUUUACAAACAUUUUCUAAUAAUACAUAUAUAAGAAAAUUAUUAUAAAAUAAUUAUAAAUUAAUAUAAAUUAAUAAUAAAAUAGUAUAAAAUUAAUAAUAAAAUAUUUUUCUUGUACUUUUGUAUUUUAUAUAUUUAUUAUAAGAAAAUGUUUAUAAAACAAAAAUACAAAAAAAUUUAUUAUUAAUUUUUUUAUUCACAUCAAGACGUAUAUUUCUUGUUUUUAAUAAAUUUUUUUUUUACCAUUCAAUAUGAUUUGUUUAAUGUAUAAUAAAUAUGAAUAAAGGUGUAUUUGAAAAUAAAAAUAAUAUUGUAGGAAACAUUUACCAUUUUCUAAGAGAAGCUUAAGAGUGAGUAAAGGCUUGUUUAAACCAGAUAUUUUGAGCCAUAUAUUUUAAAAUACCUCAAGGCACCCUCAUUGUUAAAUAUGCUAUAUUUCUACUCUUACUUUUUCUUUCCUUUUAUAAUAUUACCCUUGCAACAAUAUUCUAACCUUUUUGAGGAUAUCAAUGAAAGAAAAAAAAUUAAUUUAUCAAAAUUUGCCUUAAAAGUAACAUAAAAAAUUCCACAAAUUUUUAUGUUAUUAUUUUACUUUUAGGAUUAAUUUGGUAAAUUAAUUUUUUAUAAAAUAACUAUUAGUAAAAUUGUUGCAAAUAUAUUAAACAUUUCUUUAAGUUGGAUAAUAUUGAUUUAUUUAUAAAUAAAUUAUUGGCAAUUAGUUCUUUCAUACUGAAAUUUAUUAGUUAAUUUGCUAAUCAAUAAUUAUUGGUUAAUACGCUAAUAAACUUUUAUAGAUAAAUUAAUUAAUGUCAAGAAUAUUAUUGCAAGGUAUUAUUAUAAAAGCAAAUAGAAAGUAAGUGCAAGAAUGUAAUAUAUUUAAUUAUAAAGGUAUUUUGAGAUAUUUUUGAAAUUAUAAGAACUAAACAAGCAUUUACCAGUUGAGAGAAGAUGAAAUGGGAAAAAUUCAAGGGUUAGGAUAUAUGAUGAGUUAAGGAUUAGGUCUUGUAAAAUCUUGAUUUGGGGAGAUGAUUUUGGAGUGUUUCAACCCUAAAUUCAUUUGGGAAGACUCAUUGACGUACACAUUAAAGGUGGAAAGUGUAGAGAGAGAGAGAAGGAGAAAGUGUGUGUUUAGAGUGAGAGAUGUGUAAUUCAAGUAAACAAGUUGGAUACUUGGAUUUCUCACUAAAUAGAGUAAGAUUUCCAUCAUUCUAUCAUUAUUUAUGCUAAAUUUAAUUUAAAGAUUUGUUUAUUUUAUUUAAAUUAAUGUUUCCAACAUAUGGUAAAGUGGUACGAAGAUAAAUUUUGUAAUUUGUGGAUUACUUUAGGUGCACACAGCACCAACAAGGCAUUGUAGAGCCAAAAAGACUUAGCACUUGAUGUUUCUGGUUCGAUAUAUAAAUAGCUAAUAAUUGUGUAUUAUGUUUAUGUAGUUUAUGGUUAGUAAUGAGAUUGGUGGUAAUGUAGCUCUAUAAUUAACUAUUUAUUUCCAAAACUAAGGAACUUCAUAUCGUAUUUUCUUCCAAAACUAAGGAGCUUCAUAUCAUGUAUUUCAUUAAAAAAUAGUCUCACUCUUAGACUUUAUGAGUUGCUGUGAAAAAUAAAUGAUGAUAAAUUUUCAUACAAAUUUAUUUUUAUAAAUUGAUACGACAUUAGUUCAUUGGUUGCAUGAAAUAUAAAAGCAGGUAGCAGUUGGUCCUUUGAGGAUCAUAAAAUUUAGAACCAAUCGGUCUAAAAAUUGCAUGCAAGUGCAAAGGUCUGCUCUUGUUGCAAAGGUAAUAGAGAAUCUCUUAUUCUCUAAAAGAGUAGUAGAAGAAUAGAAAAGAAUUCUAGAUGGUGAUAUGUGGAAGCUAGAAGAGAUAAGGAAAGGUCUUUUGGCUCCUUUAUUGUUGAGUUAUAUUGCUAUGCCAUCCAUGGUAAAAUGAUUUUUCUCAUAUUGUGCUGUCUUUUCAAAAGACUACAACAUGUAUAAAGAGGAACUAAUUACCCUAUGGAUGACUUAAAGUUACCUUAGUAUAACUAAUUACCCGGCGUCGGAGGGUUUACACCGGGAAAACACUCGGCGUGCUCUGACUUGUCUCUGUGUACGCAGGAGUUUGCGGAGAAGAAGCCUUACGAGGAGAGAUCCUGAUCGUGGUCGAGUUGGUUGAGGAGAGAGCUUGGUCGUGGUCGAGCAGGGAACCAAAAUCUCGCAUCAACACAGUUUCUGUUGCAAUUGUAUUGGCCUGGGUUUAGGGAACUGUCAACUUUCAGAAGAAGAUGGAGUUUCUCAAACCAAAUCUAAGAAGAUAUCUCACAUUCCCCACAUGGUCUCAACGCACAGGUAAGUUCUUCUCUAGCUCUGUUUUUCAUUGUUUGUUAUUUUUAAUGUAACUAAGAAGCAGAGUUAAUCUCUUAUCUUGUCCUUGCUUUGAGAAAACCUGCUUUUACAUCUAUUUUUAAUUCACAUGUCCACAGUAAUUUCAUUUUAGUUUGAGCUGAGUGAUAACUGUUCAAGGCUCACUUACUCAUUGGGAGAAGCUGCAUGACGCAGGCUGCAAGGAUUUAGAUUUUCAUUCGAAGGCUCACUUACUCAUAGUGUGCAUGUUUCGUUACGAUUAAAAUGAUUAGUCUCUUGUUCUUAAGUAUACAAUUUCCAAUGGAUUUGAUAGAGCGGUCAUCAACCAUAUUGAUGUUAUUGGAGUAGCACUGUUCUUAAGCACUGCUUUGAGGUCUCUCCCUCUCUAUAUACAUUGAUAGACUAUUCUGGUCGUACCAAAUUAUCCUUGUUUUAUUGUUUUGUUUGUUAAACUUUGACUGGGGGAAUCUGUUUAUUUGUCUGAUAUGAUGUUAGUGUGGUUUCGAUUGAAGUGUGUUGAUCUAUCACCAAGUAUUAUUUCAAUUUUUCUUUACCUAAUCAACUUGCAUACUUUCCAAGUCUAGAUCCUUAACAAUAGUGAGACUCCGCUACAGAAGUACGAUUUCUCUAGUUUUGUAGUUAAAUACGUAAGAAUAGUUUUAAAUUAACAGAACUCUGAGAUAGUUCUCUGAGGAAAUACAAGUGGUGAAUAUGGUUCCAACUUUUAAGUGCCUUAAGAUUCCCAUUUGUUCAGCCCUGUGCGUAAACAAUCAGUAAUUUCUGUCCAAAUUCUUCUUUAAUGCCUAUAUGUGUUGGACUUUGUCUACUGUUCAACUUCUCAAAUGGAUUCCAUGCAGGGUUUUGAAUGUCCAAUUAGGAGAAAGAUCAAGGCUUGCUUGGCUAGGAGUGGAAGCGGAUCCACUACUUCAGUCAGAUGACCUUUUGAAGAAGGCUUACAACAGGCCGUCUCAGGAUGUCAAUGGCUCAACUCAAAAGUCCCCAAAGUGGUUGAUAUCGAAGAAUGCCGUUGUCUCUGGGCUUGGGCUCCUUGGCAUCAAACAAGGGAAUGUCGACUCUGUUGAAGGGGAAGCAAGGGCUCCUAAAGUGCGAAGAAAGAGGAUAGGCCGGAAGAAGGUGACCGCAUAAAUUUCUUGGGAGUUGAUCCUAGUCAAUAGCCCAAUUUUUUUGUCAAAACAUUGGUCCCGAUUCCAGCAAAACAGUAACUUCCAUUCAAAAGGGUUCAGCGUUGAGUGCAUGUAAUCUGCACAAGUUUGACAAAAAAUAACCGAAAAAAAAAAAAGAAACCCACGUCCAAAGAUGCCGUUGAAAAAAGUUAUUGGGUAUUCAUAAUAAAAUAAACAAAUAAAAAAAUGAAUAAAAAUUUAAAUACUUAAUUAAUUUUUAUCAAAUUCUUAUCAAAUAUUUAAAAAAGUAUAUAAAAUGAAUUAAUUGAUGGUAUUAUUAAUUUUCAUGAUGAUUUUUAAUAUUAUAUUAGUGAUUAGUAAGUUUAAUACAAUCAAUAAUGCAAGAAAUUAUUAAAUGGUUAAUUUUAUUGGCAAAUUUUAUCAAAUACGCAAGUAAUGAAAAAUUAAUCUCAAGAGUUAGUAGAAGUAAAGUUCUAAUUUAACCAGAUGAUAGAUAAUAAAUACAAAUAAAUUUUAAGUAAAUCAUAAAUUAAAAAUAAAUAAAUUAAUUAAUAUUAAGUAUAAAUAAAAAAUAAUGACAUAAAUUAAAGUCUCAUAAAUGGAUAACUUUUUUUCUUUAAUCUUAUCCUAAGUCCCAACUAAAGGAAUGUGUAAAUUAGGAUUAUUAAUCCCAUAAUUUUAGGAUUAAACUUAAAUUUAGUCCCUUAGUCCAAUUCAAUUAAGCUUACCAAAUAUGAUAUAAAUAUAUAAUCACAAAAUUAGUCCAAUUCCAUACUUAAUCCUAGUAUUCGAACAUGGCCGGAUAAAAUAGUUUAGAUAAUAUACUUCUAUGGCUCACAAUUUAAAUAAAUUUGAGAAUUUAAAUAAGGGAUGGAAAAUUCACAAUAAUCAUACCAUGUACUGUCUUUUCUUCCUUUUCUUAAUUAAAUAAAAGAAAAAAAAUUAAUGACAGAACCACUGCUGUGUGAUAUCGAUGAAGUCGCAUUCGCCUACCUAAUAUUGCGCAAUCAGAUAGAAAAAAGGGUCGGCUGCAUGAUUUUUCCAACUUUUGUCUUAUUUUUCUCUUUUCCACUACAAAUUAAUUUGAGAAUGUUAUAUUUUCCAAUUCUCUUUUUGUCGUGACAUAAUAGACUAAAGCGGAAUCACAUACUUUUUCAAAUGACCAAAUGGCUUUGGCCUACCUGAUAAUAAAAGGAAUGGAUCCAUACGUUAAAGCUAAAUUGAAAAAUAUAAUAAAUAAAUUGUCAGGAGAUGAUUUUAUCAAAAAUUUCACUCGCACGGUCCCGACCAAAUACAAAUUUGUGAUGAUAUUCAUAAUGAAUUUAUACCAUUAGGCGAAAUUACUCUAUAUAGUUUCAUCGAUAUAUAUUAUACCAUUACAAAUAUACUAAUAUUUAUAAUAAAAAAAAUUUAUGACUAUUUUAAAUCGACUGUAUUAUAUGUGAAUUCACAAGAUUCAUAGAUAGAUUGCACUGAGCUUUUUGUUGCAGUUUACAAAUAUUUUGUUACUAAUUAUCUUAAGAGCAGCAAGUAACUAAAUACAAAUGUAAGAAAUUUCACAAGUGCUGAUGCUGUGUACUCUGCAGAAUUAAUAAUGGAUUAUUAUGAAUCAGAGAAACAGGGCAGACGCUGUACAAUUAUUGACGUGGUGGAGCAGAAAGCUAGCCCCACAUGGUGACUCCUUUAAUUUGCAGCACAAAAGAACGUUCACAUUGACAUUGACUCGAGGGUAAAAAGAAUGCAAACAUGCUUGAAUGAACAUUCUCACAGAAUACAUAAAAGCAAGAAAAGCAAUUGCAGCAUUUUCCAUUUGAUCUAAUAUCAGAAUGGCUCUUGCGAUCGUUUGCGCUCUCUUGGACCAGCUGAAUUCCAUUGCUCAAGAAAAGUGGAGGCUUUUGACGGGUGUCGAACAAGAAGUGGGAAAGCUUACUACCAAUCUUCAAGCCAUUCAAGCUGUGCUGGAAGAUGCAGAGCAGAGGCAAAUGAAGCAGGACAGAGCUGUUACUCUUUGGCUGGAUCAGCUCAGAGACGCAUCCUACGACAUGGAAGAUGUGUUGGAUAAGUGGAUCACUGAAACACGGAAAUCGCAGCUUGAUGAGGGCGGCGAUGAUGAAGAUGAUGAUAACGACAAUGCUUUUGUUACUCUUUUGACGAAGGUAUGUUCCUUCUUUCCUGCUGCCUCAAACUGCUUUGGUUGUUUCAAACAACUCAGUCUUCGUCAUCAUAUUACUGUCAAGAUUAGAGAAAUCAGUAAAAGGCUAGAUGAUAUUGCCAGACAAAAAGAUAGUUUCAAAUUUGUUGAGAAUGUGAGUAACAAUGUUAAGAAACCAGAGCGAGUGCGAACCACCUCCUUGAUUGAUAAGGGAGAGGUUUUUGGUAGAGUUGAUGAGAAAAAUGAGCUCUUAAGCAAGUUGUUGUGUGACAGUAGUGAACAACACCCUCAUAUCAUCUCAUUGGUUGGGUUCGGGGGUAUAGGCAAAACCACUCUUGCACAACUAGCCUAUAAUGAUGAUGAGGUGAAAAUAAAUUUUGAAAAAGUUAUAUGGGCGUGUGUAUCAGACACUUUUGAGGAGAUUAGGGUCGCCAAAGCAAUCAUUGAAGGUCUAGGCGAGUCAAAAAAAGCUUCUGGUUUAAGCGAAUUCCAAUCUCUUAUGAGCCAUAUCCAUAGAUCAAUUGGGGGAAAAAAAUUUUUUCUUGUCUUAGAUGAUGUAUGGGAUGGGGAUUCCAAUAAAUGGGAUCCAUUCUUCUUUUGUCUAAAGAAUGGUCUCCACGGAAGUAAAAUUUUGGUUACCACACGUAAUGAGUCAAUUGCACGUAUGAUGGGAACAACAGAGUCAGAUACUAUCUCCAUUGAACAACUGGCUGAAGAGGAAUGCUGGUUGUUUUCCAAGCAGUUAGCAUUUUUCGGUCGCUGUUUCGAGGAUUGUGAAAGAUUAGAACCAAUCGGGCGAAAAAUUGCACGCAAGUGCAAAGGCCUGCCUCUUGCUGCAAAGGUAAUAGGGAAUCUCUUGCGCUCUAAAAUUACAGUAAAAGAGUGGCAAAGAAUGUUAGAUAGUGAAAUGUGGAAAUUAGAAGAGAUUGGGCAAGGUCUUUUGGCUCCUUUGUUGUUGAGUUAUAACGAUUUGCCCUCCAAUUCGAUGGUAAAACGGUGUUUCUCAUAUUGUGUUGUCUUUCCAAAUGACUACAGUAUGAAUAAAGAAGAAUUGAUUAGUCUGUGGAUGGCUCAAGGCUACUUUAACGCAGAAGAAGACGAAGAAAUGGAGAUGAUUGGAGAAGAGUAUUUCAACAUAUUAGCAGCACGCUCUUUCUUUCAAGAGUUUAAAAAAGAUUAUUUCAAUGGUGAUUUUAUGUGGUGUAAGAUGCAUGACAUAGUACAUGAUUUUGCCCAAUUUAUAAGUAGAAAAGUAUGUCUGUGGCUAGAAAUUGAUGGUACCAAAGAAUCAGUCAUAAACUCUUUUGGUGACAAAGUCCGUCACUUAGGGUUAAAUUUUCAAGGAGGAGCUUCAUUUCCUAUGUCCAUUCAUGGACUUAAUAGAUUGCGUACCCUCUUAAUUUAUGAUAGAAGUCAUUUCAUUCCAUCUCUUAGUAGUAGCAUCCUUUCGGAGUUAUUUAAUAAAUUGGUGUGUUUAAGGGCAUUAGUUAUAAGGCAAUUUAACCUUUAAGUUUGCAUCCUGUGCCAGAUAGGAUUAGAGAAAUUCCAGAAAAUGUUGGAAAAUUGAUACAUUUAAAAUAUCUUAAUUUGAAUGGACUAUGUAUAAAGAGACUACCUGAGACUUUGUGUGAAUUAUAUAAUUUACAAAAGCUAGAUAUUAGGUGGUGCCGAAAUCUUAGAGAAUUGCCUGCGGGGAUUGGGAAGUUAAUGAACAUGAGGAGUUUACUGAAUUACGACACUCGUUCGUUGAAAUACAUGCCAAUAGGGAUUUCCAGAUUGACCAGCCUUCGAACAUUAGAAAAGUUUGUUGUGGGUGGAGGUGUUGAUGGCGGCAGCACGUGUAGGCUUGAAUCUUUGAAAAAUCUUCAACUCCUUCGUGAAUGUCGAGUAGAAGGGCUGAGUAAUGUAUCGCAUGUAGAUGAGGCUGAGAGGUUACAACUUUACAAUAAGAAAAACCUCCUUCGUUUGAAUCUCAAGUUUGGUAUAGCCGUAGAUGGGGAAGGCGAAGAAGGGAGGAGGAAGAAUGAGAAAGAUAAACAACUUCUUGAAGCCUUACAACCGCCUUUGAAUGUAGAGGAAUUACGGAUUUUGUCCUACGGAGGCAACAUGUUUCCCAAAUGGUUGACUUUGCUAACCAAUCGAAGGGAACUAAGGAUUGAUUUUUGUGAAAAUUUGCAAGAACUGCCAAUUCUAGAAGAUUGCAGGACAACAGACAUACCGCAUCUUUCUUUCUUGAUUAUUCAGAAUUGCCCCAAAUUAAAGGUGCUGCCGGAUUACCUUCUUCGGACGACGACGCUGCAGAAAUUGACAAUUUGGCGAUGUCCCCUUUUGGAAAACCGUUAUAGAGAGGGGAAAGGAGUAGACUGGCAUAAGAUAUCUCACAUUCCCCACAUCAAGUUGUCGCUGUGGAUGCCGUAAGAUAUCACUGGACGGUAAUUUCUCCUCCUCUGAUAUACUUCGUUGUUGCUUGCAAUGAAAUUAAUAAAAAUAAUUAUAUUUUGAAUUAAAAUUCUAUAUAGAAUCAAUCUUGGUAUAAAUAUGUAAAACUUCCUAGUUAUCAAAUCUGUUAGACUUGUUUUCUAUAUUUAUUUACUUUAAAAAAAUAUGUGCUCUUUUGUAAAAUUUGAUACAACAUCAUAGAAAAUCCCAAUGUAAUUUAUUUUUUAAUGUACGAAAAUUUGUUAUGUGUGACGUCCUGAGUGACAAAAUCUCCUUGAUACAUUUGCAGUAAUGUCGAAAACUAAAUUAUCAAUUUUAUCUUGUAUAAUGAUAAUCUUAUUUUUUUAUAUAUAAUUUACGUGACAUUAAUUCUUUAAAGUAAUUGUGUAAUUGUUUUUACUACAUUAGCCCACUUUGUUUUUUUUCAUACUUGUUUAAUUAUGUUCACCAGGGAUUCGAGGAAAUGUCAGAACUACACUAGCAAUUCACAGGUCCAAGCUAAUUUGGUUUUAAUGAUGCAGGCAGGAGAGCAAGACUAUGAAAAUGAAAAGUUUAGCCAAAGGAUUGCUAAAAUGUUCUGCUGGUAAUUCCCUUGCUUUAUUUUAUAGAAUUUCAUUUCUAUCUUCUUCUAUUGAUAUCUUGUUGUGAAUAAACAAGAACAGAGAGUAAAUGAUUGAACCACAGAGAAGUAAAGUAAUAUCAAAAUUCGCUAUUAUGAUGAUUUUAAAGCAAGCUCAAGCUCAAGCUUGCAUUUUUAUUUUAUUUUAUUUAUAGAACUUCCAUUUCCACCUGCAUUUCAUUUUUAUUAGACUCUAUGGAGCACAUUGGGGUAACCAAGGAUUAUCACUGUCGUUAUUGUGCAACGUUGGGUUGCUGGACUUUGAAGAAGGAAGCGAUGGCCGGGUCUGCUCUGUUUCAAUUGAGGAUGGAUAGCUGCCUGAAAGACAUGAUGAUUAUUAUUGCAUGAUGUUAAGGUGCUGAGAUCAUCAUUUCUAUCUUGUUUCAUUCUUGGAAUCGUUUAUCAUAUGCGUCAAUGGAGGCAGGUAUUUGGUGUUGACACUAUUAUGCAGGUAACCACACUUGAUAAUUUGCACAAAUUUGCGUUGUCAGAAUACCCUUUAAUAUUCAUUGUGUUUCUUUGUGUUAUCAGGUUAUCAUCUCCAAGGGUUUGAAAGAGCCUUUGCAGUUGUCAGAAUACCCUUUAAUAUUCAAUUAGGUACGUUUUGGUGCGGUCUCCCAAUGCUAAUAUCAUAUUUUGUAUAGCAAUUAAAAUUUAGCUAUACAAUUUUAAUAUGCAAUAAAUCAUUGUAUACAAAGUUUUUUAUUAAUUAUAUGGUGACUGAAAUUUUAAUUAUCAUAUCAAUUUAAAUUUUUUUGUAACUCUCUUUUACUUUGCUUGUACAGAGUACCUGUUUUGGCUGAUAUGUCUAAUUCGUAGAAAUUUAUUUCCAUCGGUUUCCAUUGGCUUUAGCACAAACAGAAACAGAGCUCUGGGGAAAAGUUUGACUUCUUGUGGUAUUAUGCCUUUGUUUCUUCAUUCAUCAUAUUUUUCGAAUUCAUGCUCUCAUUCAGAGGGUAAAGCCUUUUCAUGGCUGCUUUGUAGCCAAACUUUGACGCCAUUGAUGCAUGACUGUCAUUUAGAUUUUCCAAUAACGGUUAGAUUGGAGAAGAAUAAGAAGAUAUUGUUAAAAGGGUAUUUAAUUAGCGCCGUCUGAAUUUAGUUGCCAAUAAUGCAUUGAAAUAGUUGGGGAAAGUUAUUGUCUUAAUUAAAUUACAGGUGAUAAGAUGCUGCCUCAAUUUUGUAAGCAUCUCGUAUUGAGAAGAUUAAUUGUUGACAAGCCAAAUUUUAGGCAAAUUUUACCGUGAUUCUUGACAUCAUGGUAACACAGGUCAAAUUUUAGUAUCAAGACAUAUCUUCUUCUUUACUGUUCUGCCUCUAAAUAUUAAACUUUAGGCAAGUUGUUUUUGUUUGUGUAAGUUAUCAGGUUAAGGAUACCAAGCAGCUUAAUUGUUCACCACACCUGGUAGGAAUGAUCGCCAGGAAGAUUAAUUGUUGACAAGCCAAUUUUAUCAGUGUUAGAUUUUUUGCCUCCCUUUGAGAGAUAUCAUCAUCAAAUUUGUGUAGAGAAUCUUUGAAGAGAAUUUUGUUGUGAGAGUUUCACUGUAGUGAAUUUUGGGAGCUUGAACUCACUUGAGUGAGAUAAUAGAGUGUAUUGGGGAUUUGGGUUAUGAGUAAUCGUUAUCCUUCCAAUAUUUGCAAGCUCUUACUUGUUAGUAAAAUCAUCUUCGUAUAUUGACUCUGUUUCUUUGUUCCUUAUUUAAUUAGUUUCGAUUAUCAUAAUUAGUCACUCAUUCUGAAUUUUUCUAAUUUUAAAGUUCCUUAGGUCCGCCACCAGUUUUUCAAGUCUGCAUAUGGCUGCAAAAGAUCGAUGGUCAUAAAAUUAUCUUGAGCCUUGAGGCAUUGCGUUCGAGCUCACACUGUAACAGAGAUAAAGAUAAAGAAGACAGUAGAAGAUGCUCUAAACAUAACAAAAGUAUAUUUCUACGUCUUGUGGUUGCUUUAAUUUACUUUUGUUUCUUCUGUCAUCAUAUUUGAUUAAUUCGUUCGAAUUCACACUCUCACAUUAUUUAAAACUAUUUGUAGGUGGCUUGCAAGCUAGUUACGUUAAUGCAAAAACAAUACUCUAGACAAAGAUGAGCAAAUUAAAGGUGAUAAAUGCAAAUUGAAUGUCCAUGAAUAAUUGUUAGGCCGGUGCUGAUAAAUUGCUUCAAAGCAAGCAGCAUCUUCUGCUGCGAAGGCUUUCCCCACAUGAUAUGUUGUGAUUGUUACCGGCCCCGUAUUUAUUAACUCAGGUCAGUAUUAUCUUCUUCAUCAUUUUGGCUAUAUAUAAAGAUUAAAAUUUUGAACACUUGUCUCGGUUUCUUGUGUAAUCAGGCUAAUAGAGCAAAUGUUUACUGUCUAAGCACUAAUGCGACAAUCCCAUCUGUAAAUUUGGGCCAUCUUUGAUGUCUGACAGGUAAGCUGUGACAAUCCCAUCUGUAAGUACUAAUGCGCUUGGUUAUAGUGCUUUCAUUGGACUAUAUGCAAACAUGAGAUAUCAACUAUUGUGUGGAUUUGAUAGAGCGGUCACCAACCAUUUUGAUGUUAUUGGAGUAGCACUGUUCUUAAGCACGGCUUUGAGGUCUCUCCGUCUCUCUUUUACGUAUUUGUCUAUUGAUCGACAUCUCUAUAUAUACAUUGAUAGACCAAAUUACUCUUGCUUUAAUGUUAAUGUGGUUCCUAUAAAAGUGUAUAUAAAUCUAUCACCUCAAAGUCUGAUUUCAAUUUUCCUUUACUUAAUCAACUAGCAUCCUUUCCAAGUCCAGAUACUUACCAAUAGUGAGACUUUGCUACGGAAGUACAAUUUCUCUUGUUUUAUAGUUAAGUAUGUAAGAAUAGUUUCAAAUUUACAAAUUUCUGAUAUAGUUCUCUACGGAAAUGCGAGUGGUGAAUAUGGUUCCAACUUUUAAUAGGCUUAAUUGGCCCAUUUGUUCAGCCACAGUGAUUGCGGUCUGAAUUCUUCUUUACUGUCUCUAUGUGUUGGAGUUUGUCUAUUGUCCAACUUCUCCAAUGGAUUCCAUGCAGGGUUUUGAAUGUCUAAUUAGGAGAAAUCAACGGAUGACCUUUUGAAGAAGGCUUACACAACAGGCCAUCUCAGGAUGUCAUGGCUCAGCUCAAAAGUCCCCAGGUGGUUGAUACCAAAGAGUGCCAUUGUUUCUGGGCUUGGGCUCCUUGGCGUCAAACAAGAUAAUGGGAAAUAGGGGCAACUAAAGCGCGAAGAAAGAGGAUGGUCUGGAGGAAGGUGUCUGCAUAAAUUUGUUGGAGUUGAUGUAGUCAAUUGCCCAAUUUUGCUGCCUGUCGAAGAGACACAGCAUGGAAGUCCUCAUCAAACUCUGAGACACCUAAGAAAUAGUAUGAGGUGGUGGUAUUCCCCUGGUGUUAAUUUCCUGGCAAGUGUGGUUCACAGAUAGAGGGAUUCUUUUCUUGAUGUCUAAAUACCAAAUGUGAUGCAACGUCGUAUAUUCUAAGAUAUUAAAUUCUAUUUCAGAUUUCUCAUAUAGUGUCGUUGUCACUUCUGUGGUACACUUUUGAUCGCAAAUUUCCAUUUGAAGUAGCCGAUAUUCUUUACAGACUAAUUAUCUAAUGAUUAUUUUGUACAAAAAAAAUCAAAACUUUAAUUAUUUGAUCAUACUCAACUUAGGUCUUAUUCGAUAUUACUAGUUGUUAAUGUGUAAUAAAUGUAUGACUUUUAAAUAAUAAUUUUAAUAAAAAUAAUAAAGAUAUUAUAAGUUUUUUUUUAUAAUAAAGUAUGAGAUCAAAUCAAAUUAAUUUUGAAGUCACAAUAGCAAAUGUUUACCAAAACUAUUUAAUUAUAUGACUUAAAAGAUAUAGUUGUCCAAUCCCAACAAUAUAUAUAAAGAUUUACCAAACUUUACCCGACUUUAGUUGUACCCACUUGAUUAUGUAAGUCCAUUCUCCACGCGCUUGACCAUAUGAGAUGUUACUCAACUUUAACAAAUCUUACUUAAACUUUGCACGUUUGACAUGUUGGAUGAAAUAUAGCAUAUGAUGUGAUAGAAUACAAUAGGAAUGGUUGUAACAAGAUUAUAAUUAGUACUAGUUUGUAUUUUAUGUGAUGUAGAACGCAUUAUAUUACAACUUUUAGUGUUAUACUAAUUAAAAAUUUGAAUUAUUUUAUUAUUGUAAAAAUUUAAUAUCUUAAAUAACAGUUAUUUUAAUUAAGUAUUUUUGUUGCAAUGAAUUAUACUUUUUUAAAUAUAAUUGAAAAUUCUUAUUACUAAACUAAUAAAAAAUUAAUUAUUUGAGUUAUCUCCUAAACUACUUAGCUUACGAGAUAAAUUCACUUUGUUUAGAAUGAAACGGAUUACAUUUAGUACUAUUUUGUAUUUUAUGUGACGUAGUGUAUGAUUCAAUUAUAUUACAAAUUUUAUUGUAAUAAAAAAAUUUUGAAUUAUUUUAUUAUUGUAAAAAUACAAUAUCUUAAAUAACAAUUAUUUUUAUUAAGUAUUUUUUAAUGAUUUAAAAUAUAAUUGUAAAUUCUUAUUAUUAAACUAAUAAAAAAUUAAUUAUUUGAGUCAUCUCCUAAACUACUUAUUUCACGAGAUAAUUUCACUUAGUUUAGGAUGAAACGGUGGGUUAUUUUUAUGUGGGAGCCACAUCCUUUCCAUAUGAGAUGUUACUCAACUUUAACAAAACUUACUCAAACUUUGCACGUUUGGCAUGCCGGAUGGAAUAUGAUAGUAUAUGAUGUGAUAGAAUAUUAUAUGAUUAGAUGUAAUAGGAUUAUAUUUGGUCUUGUUUUAUAUUUUAUGUGAUCUAGUAUAUGAAUGGAUUAUAUUACAAAUUUUAUUGUUAUAAUAAUUAAAAUUUUGAAUUAUUUUAUUAUUGAAAAAAUAAAUAACAGUUAUUUUGAUUAAGUUUUUUUUUUCUGUUGAAUUAUAGUUUUAAAAUAUAAUCCAAAAUUUUUAUUACUAAACUAAUAAAAAAUUAAUUAUUUGAGUUAUGUCCUAAACCAACUUAGCUCACGAGAUAAAUUCACUUAUUUUAGAACGAAACGGCGGGUUUUAUGUGGGAAGCCACAUCCUUUCCAUAUCAACCUCAACAUCCAAACAUGAAAUUGGACUAAGAAUAGUUCUUUCCCAUGUAUUUACGUACCCUCCUGCCACUAAACGUAAUUGUAUAUUUUGGACCUUAUUUGACUUGAUUUUAUUAACUUAAUUUUCUCCAAUUUCCAUUGUCGACGUUGAGUGCAUGUAAUUAAUCCACAAGUUUUGAUUGAGCAGAAAUAGCCAAAAAAAACUGAUGAUAUGAUAAUAGCAAAAAAUCUAAUGACACCCACGUCCAAAGAUGCCGUUGUCACAAAGGCCUGGACGCCAUACCUCGAACCCAUCCCCUUUUACCAUGAGUGAUGAUACAGCCACAAACUCUUAUACAAACUUAUUUUAUACAAACUAAUGUGACAUCAAUUCAAUGGUUGAAUGAAAAUAUAAAAUAAUGAAAGUAAAUCAUGUGGGCCAAGAGAUAUUUAAUUUAACCAAUAAAUUGACGCCACAUAAGUUUGUACAAAAUAAAUUUGUAUAAGAGUUUGUGGCUGUAUUACUGUAUUAUUACUCUUUUACCAUAUUUUAUAAUUAAAGAGGUCAUUGUUUGAAAGAAAAGAAUGACAUGUUGGUAUGAAAUUACGUUAAAAUGAAUAUAUCACUUUUUUUUUUGUGUGAGUGAUGGCUUCGUUUAAUGACAAUUGGCAGACAAUGAAUCAUCUUUUAAUUUUAGUUUUGAUUUAAUAAAAAAUAUUAAUUUUUGUAGUUUCGGUAGAUGAAAUUUCGAAUCAAAUAUUAAUAUCGUUAAAGUACGCAACUCAAUAUUUACUUAAAUCAGAAAAAAGAUUAAUUGCUUUACAUGAAAAAGAAAAGAAAAGAAAAGAGUGAUCACUUGAUUUAACUUCCUUUACUAAAUUUACGAUUUAAAAUCUAAAAUGGAAAAAGGAAAACAAGUUUUGGAAACACACUCGGAGUUUUAAAUUGAUAUGAAAAAAGAGUUUAUUAUUGACAAUCUUUUUCCCAAAAUUUAAGCUAAGACAACAAUAUGUCCAAAAUACCCUCCACAUUAUCCCAAAACUUUAUAAACUCCCCCGUUCCUCUCAACAUCAUCUCUUCCAAAUCUUUCUUCCCCCCAAAAACCAGCCAUGGCUUCAUAUUCAAUUACCUCAACACUCCAAUAUUGGCUUGUAAACCACCCCCAAAUCCUCAACUUCACAUGGACUCCGAACCAAACACUAGCUUCCUCCCCACACUUCCUCAUUCUCUCCAUCCUCACUUACCUCUCCCUCACAUUCAUCCUCUACCACGCAUCAACAUCAACAUCACCACCUCUCAUUGGACCCCACAUCCUCAAGCCCAUCACAGCCGUCCAUAACCUCACCCUCUUCGUCCUCUCCCUCAUCAUGGCCGUUGGUUGCACUCUCUCCAUCAUCCUCCAUUUACCCUACCUCCGUUACACCCUUUGUUUCCCCACUACCAUUUCUCCGUCUGGCCCUCUCUUCUUCUACGCUUACAUCUUCUACCUCUCCAAAAUACUCGAAUUCUUUGACACCCUUUUGAUCAUUUUAUCAAACUCCAUCCAACGGCUCACGUUCCUCCACGUCUACCACCAUCAACCGUCGUUGUAAUGUGCUUCCUUUGGUUACAGACGAAGCAGUCUUUGUUUCCUAUUGCAAUUGUCACCAAUGCAAGUGUGCAUGUGAUCAUGUACGGGUACUAUCUAUUGUGUGUGAUGGGGUUGCGGCCAAAGUGGAAGAGAUUGGUCACUGAUUGUCAGAUUCUUCAGUUUGUGUUUGGUUUUGCUGUUUCGGUUUUGAUGCUGUAUUAUCAUUUCACGGGUUUUGGUUGCUCUGGGAUUUGGGGAUGGUGCUUCAACGUUGUGUUUAAUGCGUCCCUUUUGGCACUUUUUGUUAAUUUUUAUUCCAAGAGCUAUGCUAAGAAAAAGAAGCAGGGAUGAUCAAAGUGCUAUGAUUGUUUUGUGUUUUCUUUUUUAAUUUAUUUGAUUUUGGUUAAUUAUGAAUGGUGGUAAUUGGUUGAAUGCAAUUGAAGAGAUGCUUUCAGUUGCCUAAACUUUGUUUUUUCAAUUUUUGUUAUAGAUGUCAUAUGUCACCACAUUUUUUUAGUCUCUCCCUUUAAAAUUCCCUCACACAAACUUCGGAUUUGUAUUUUGUAAACUAGAAUUUUUCAUUUUCGUUAAUGUGUUAGCUGUUAUUAUCUACAAUUAUGUCAUACGACACACAUGUCACAUCAACUAAAAUUAGAUUAUGAAUUUUGGGCACAGGGCCAAGUCCCACCGUUUGGUAGGAAAUAAGUGUUGGAUCAUAAACUUGAUCCAAGAUAAAUAAAUUCAACCUUAACUCAUGGAAGGUUCCAUGAGUAGGUAUGGUUAGUGAGGUUUGAAUUAUUUGUGUUAGGUGUGGUAGGUGUGGUUGGUGAAGUAGGUGAGUGGUAGGUUUUAAUGGAUGGUGAGUAUUUGUGUAUUAGUUGAAUAAAUGAAUGGUUGUGAUUAGUUUGUUUCAUGGAUAAAUACCCCCUCUCCCCUUUGGUUUAAAUAUCAAGUGAAAUAACAAAAUCUCUAAGGUGUAGAGAGUGAAAAAUAAGAGUUGUAAUUAGUGAGGAGUGUUGUUGAAGAAAUAAAAUAGUGUGUUUUAUUUGUUAACUCUCCAACAAAGUGGUAUCAAAGCUAGUGCUUGAUGCUAUAUAUUGUCAUAUAGCAUAUCAAAUCGAAGAUCUCGAUGAGAGGAACGUGACGCCGCAAAAAUCAUCCUGACCAAAGACCAGACGCGCCCAAGCUCGCCGUCAGAAUUUUUCUGUCCUGAAGCUGAGUCGACUCACCGAGUUGAACCAACCUGAGUCGAGCCGAACUGAACCGAAUCAAGUCGAACCAAGCCAACUGGAGUUGAACCAAUCCGGACCGAACCAAGACUACUAAGCCAACGCUGACCGUUGACUGAAAGUUGACUCAAGUUCUUCCCAAGGCUUUUCGACGUGCCGGAUCCAUCUGUGCUUUCAGAAUCUCCAAAUUCUCACUCAAUUUGUGAGUUAUGGAAAACGGUGGUCUGAUGUCAUUUCAAGUUCCACAAUUAAAGAGAAGUAAGUUUGACAAUUGGAGUAUUAAAAUGAAGGCUCUAUUGGGUGCACAUGACGUAUGAGAUAUCAUGGAAAAAAAGCUUUAUUGAGCCAGAAAAUGAAGCCACUUUAACUGCGGCAUAGAAUGAGAAUUUAAAAGACUUGAAGAAGAAAGAGAAUAAAGCAAAGUAUCUCAUCUUUCAAUCAUUAGAUGAAGAUGCCUUUGAAAAGAUUGCUGGUAAAACGUGAGAAACUAGAGACCUCUUACAAAGGAGCGAAGAAAGUUAAGAAGGUUCAUCUCCAAAUAUUCCGAGGAGAAUUUGAGUCCUUACACAUGAAGGCGUCGGAGUCAAUUUCUGAAUACUUUACUUGGGUUGUGACCAUUUCUAAUGAAUUAAAAAGAAAUGGCGAGGAGUUAAAAGAGGUAAGGAUCAUUGAAAAAAUACUUCGAUUAGUAUACUCGAAGUUUGACCAUAUUAUUGUGACAAUUGAGGAAACAAGAGAUCUAGAGGAUAUGACGAUCGAGCAACUUUAAGAAAGGUUGCAAGUCUAUGAAGAAAAACAAAAAAAGAAGCAAGGAAUCGAAGAACAACUUCUCAAGAUGGAGGUCAAUCCAAAGAAAAGAAAAGAAAGCUCCGACAACGGAAGAAGGCAUAUUUAUCUCCCAAGAAAGCUAUACAAAGGAGAUUCUAAAAAAGUUCAAGAUGAAUGAUUGCAAGCCUAUAAGCACGCCAGUGGAAUGUAGAGUCAAGUUAUCUAAACAUGAUGAAGGGGAAGAUAUAGAUCCAACAUUCUUUAAAAGUUUAGUCGGAAGCCUACGUUAUUUGACAUGCACCAGACCAGAUAUCCUUUAUGUUGUUGGACUUGUGAGCCGAUACAUGAAGAAUCCAAAGACCACCCAUUUUAAAGCUGCAAAAAGAAUCCUUUGCUACAUCAAAGGUACAACUAAUUUUAGCUUGUUAUACUCAUUUUCUAAUGACUCCAAGCUUGUUGGAUAUAGCGAUAGCGAUUGGGGUGGAGAUGUAGAUGAUCGAAAGAGCACCACAGGAUUUGUGUUCUUCAUGGGAGAUACUGCUUUCACAUGGAUGUCAAAGAAGAAAACAAUUGUCCUGCUAUGCACCUAUGAAGCUGAAUAUGUAGCUGCCACAUCAAGUGUUGAUAAUAAUUUGGCUCAGAAAUUUGUUGAAGGAAUUAGGUUUGCCACAAAAAGAGCCAACCGAGAUUUGUGUUGAUAACAAAUCAGCAAUUGCCCUAUCCAAGAAUCCAAUCUUUCAUGAUUGAAGCAAACACAUAGACACUUGCUAUCAUUUCAUAAGAGAAUUUAUUACAAGAAAAGAAGUGCAAGUCAAGUAUGUAAAAUCACAAGAUCAAGCAGCUGAUAUCUUCACUAAGCCACUCAAGCAAGAAGACUUCGUAAAAUUCAGAAGUUUGCCUGGUGUCACAGGAUCAAGUUUAAGGGGGGGUGUUGGAUCAUAAACUUGAUCCAAGAUGAAUAAAUUCAAGCCCAACUCAUGGAAGGUUCUAUGAAUAUGUAUGGUUGGUGAGGUUUGAAUUAUUUGUGUUAGGUGUAGUAGGUGUGGUUAGUGAAGUAGGUGAGUGGUAGGUUUUAAUAGAUGGUGAGUAUUUGUGUAUUAGUUGAAUAAAUGAAUGGUUGUGAUUAUUUUUGUUUCAUGUAUAAAUCUCUAAGCUGUAGAGAGUGAAAAAUAAGAGUUGUAAUUAGUGAGGAGUAUUGUUGAAGAAAUAAAAUAAUGUGAUUUUUGUGUGUUUUAUUUGUUAAUUCUCCAACAAUAAGGAGCAUUAAUGAAAUAUGUUUAAUUAAGUAAUAAUUUGUUAUUUUAGAGUGAAAAAUAAGGGUAAAUUGUAUUCUACCCCAUAUUAGAUUGACAAACUUCAAUUUACCCCUUAAAAGUACAAAAACUUCAACUUAUCUCCAAAUACCAUUUUCUUCCCGUUAAAUUUAACUAUCGAAAGUAUAAAAUUAUAGUCUUACAUUCUCUCAACAGUCAACUCAUGGAUAAGAAGUCAAAACAUAUAUAUAAGGUAAUUUCCAUAAAACCCAAUGUAGGGGCGGGCAAUUGUUUGGUUUAGAAGUUAGGAACCGAAUGGUUUGAAAACAAAUGAACUGAUUGGUUUAUAUUUGGUUUACUUUGAACUGACAAACCGAUUGGUUCGCUUAAACUUAAUUAAAAAUACAUUUAUUUUAAAAUAUAAAUGCUUAAAAUAAUUUUUUUUUUCAUUUUUCAGUUUCCUAAUCUAAAAAUGUUUCAUAACCCUAAAUCAGCCGCCAUCUCUCUCAAGGUCGACGGCGGCACAACAAGCUCUCUCGGUCUCUCCCUCGCAAUCUCAUGGUGAUUGAUUUCUCGUGAUGUCUCCACUUUUGUUUCUUGUUCUUGUGUGAUCGAAUUCUCUCUAUACACACAUAGCCUAGCCUCUUGUUUUUUGGCUCAAUGGAGUUUCGUUUCUUUUCUCUCAGUUUCUUUCCUGUUGAAUUCUCGUGAUGUUUCUAUUUUUUUCUUUUUUUUUAGACAUGUUUUCGAAAUUGGCAUAAUACGAACCAAACCUGAACUGAAUUUCAAAAUCAAAUCGAAUUGAACCAAACUGAAAUUUUUAUGUUCGGUUUGGUUCGAUUAAAAAAUUUGGUAUGCGUUCGGUUCUCUUUCUUACGAACCAUUGGGUUUUAGUUCGGUUCGGUUUUGGUCUAGAAAAGAACUAACUAGAACCGAACCAAACCAAACCAAACCAAACCAUUUACUGGCCACCUUGCUCAUAUGUUUCAACAAAUUUCAAUGCACACUUAAACAUUUCAAUAAAAUUCGCUUUGUACCCAAAUUGAUAAUUUUUACUUUUUAAUUAGUUAAUUGUUAACUGCAGAAGUAUAAAAAAUUAUUUCUUUUUAAAAUAAGAAAAAUAAUUUUUUUCUAACUUUUUUCCUUUUUUAUUUUCUAGUUAAUUUCUUUAUCUGGUUCGGUUCAUUUUUCCCUUUUUUAUUUCUUACUGUUUUCCGCAUGUUCUCCACGCUUGAACUUUGCCAAGCAUCAUAAGGCCACAGUAGCCAUGCCAGCAACUUGCAACUAGGGGUGGGCAAAAAAACCGUAGUCUUAAAAAAACCGAACCGAACCGACGGUUUUUUCUAAUUCGGUUCGGUUUUUAUUUUUUUAAAAAACCGAAUAUACCGUUUGUAAAAAAAACCGAAAUGUCGGUUCGGUAUUCGGUUCACUUAGCUGAACCGAAAAACCGAACCGAAAAACCGAAUUAUUUUUUGAUUUUAUUCAAAUCAAACAUGUGUUAAUAAUUUUAUUCAAAUCAAACAUGUGUUAUUUCUCUUUAUAACAUUAUGAUUAUGUUUAUAUAGAUGGAGUAUUGGAGUUUGGUUAUAUAUUUUGAAAUUUUAAUAUUUCAUAUAUUUGGGAGUAUCUUAUUAAUAGUUAGUAAGAUAUUAGUGAUAAAAUGUGUUUUGAAUACUUUGUAUUUAUUGUUAAUAUUUGUAAUAAAAUUAGGAUAAAUUAAUUGUUGAAAAAAAUUAUUACAUUUAUGAGGCCCAAUGGGCUAAAAAUUUUAAAAUUCAAAAUAGGCCUAAUAGGCCCAGAACCGAAAAAACCGAACCGAACCAAACCGAUCUGAAAAGAACCGUUUGAGUUCGGUUCUUAUUGAGUUUGGUUCUUAUUCGGUUCUUUUUAUAAAAUAACCGAUUUAAAUCGGUUCUACUUAAUUUCGAACCGAACCGAACCGAACCGAACCGAACCGUGCCCACCCCUACUUGCAACAAAGUUUAGAGCUGCGCGAUGGUUGCAGCAACGUUAACGCCGCUAUUCCAAGUCUUGGCCCAUCAUCUCCUUUUCAACAAAUCUUAGCUUCUUCCCAAAUUCAUCAAUGAACCCCAAAACCAGAAUAAUCAUUAAAAUUAUUAACAACCAUUUGCUUGGAUCAAUGUAUGCUUGGCAUGUCUAUGGGCUUACUUGGAAUGGUCGCUGAUGGCCAUGGGCUUGCUUGGAUUGGCCGCGCACAGCCAUGGGCUUGCUUGGAAUGCCGGUACCCGUUUGCCACGGUUUUGCUAGCGUAUCCAUGGGUUUUGUUGGACAUGGCAGUGCGAGGCCAUGGGUGUUGCCGGACAAUGGACAUGGGUUUUGCUGGGCUGAUUAGGAAUUAACAGAGGCUAUGGAGUUGUUCAGUGUGUGAAAGAGAAAAAAACAUGAACGAAGAAGAAUAUGAACAGGGAAUAGAACGAAGAAGAUGAAGAAAGUAGAAGAGAGGGAAAAAAUAUUUUGCUUUUUUAUAAAUUUUCGGAUUUUUAUUUCAAAAUUUAUAAUUUUUGUUUAAAUUUGAGAAUCUUAAGGGUAAGAUUUUCUUUGUAACUAUGUGUAGAAGGAGGUUUUCAGAUGGUUUUUGGUUGGGUUAACAUGAAAUAUGCUUGUUUUAUGAAAUAUUAUUAUUGAGGUUUUGUUUUAUUUUCUAAAAAAUAGAUUAGAGGAUGAUUUUCAUUAAUGACACCCAUAAAGUUUGAAUUAGUUAUAUUAUAGAAAUAGUAGGGAUUUAAAUGAUAUAUCUUUUCAACAUAAAUAUAUCAGUAACAUAAGUUAUUCUAUAAUUAACAGGGUAUUAUCGUAUUUUAGUGAGUCAUUAUUGGUUGAUAGUUAUAUUUAACAGAUUUUAGACAGUAAAUUGAAGUUUAUUUUUUUUAUUUUUGAGUAAAUUAAAAUAUGUCAAUCUCAUAAGGGGUUAAAAUAUAAUUUAUCCAAAAAUUAGUGUUAAAAUUUUAUAGAUGAGUGUAUAUUAAGAUGUUCAAAGUAUUAGAACAUAAAUAAUCUUAGUUUUAAUAAAAUUUUGCCACAUAGUGAAUAUUAUCCUCAACCUCAAGAGAAACAUAUCAAUAAAAUAUACAAAAAUAGAAUGCAUUAGUACAUGUCAAUAACAAGACCAAUUAGAUCAUGUCAUAUUUGUUAUGUAGUUAUUUAAGCUAAUAGAGUAAGAAGUCCCAAAUACAUGUACAUCAUAUCUUGGUGAAGAAAUCGGUUCUACCCGAAAUACUUCUUCGUAUUGAAAUCAAUGAUGAUUGCUUGUUUAAAUAAUGAAAGUUAAAAUAAUUUUGUAAAUAAUUUCAUUCUUUAAUUUACGGUAUACAAAUAAAUUCAAAAAAUGUUAAUUUCUCUCAUACUUUUAGGACCCAAAAAAUAACAAAAAGUCUUAACAUAUUUAAUGGUUAUAUAUAAAUCAUCCGUACGUAUUUUUCUUGAGAGAAGCUCAAUUCGAUAGACAAUGCUCCCCUUAAUUUUCUUUUCUAAUUAGAUAAAAGAACAAGAGAAAUUGAUUACAAGAAUAACAAACUUUAAUUUACUUCUUAAAGGGUAAAAACCUUAAUUUACUUCUUAAAGGGUAAAAACCUCAAUUUGUCCUUAUAUUUGUUCAAAAGAUACAUUUUGUCUUCUUAAUAUAAACAAGUUAAAUUGAUGUUUCACAUCUUUUAGAAAUAAAUUAAAGAUUGUUAUUUUAAGUAGGAGGUAAAUUUCAAAUAAAACAUGUGUUCAUAUGAUAGAUGUGCAUUUUACAAUAAUUAAUAAACAAAAGGGUAGUGAUAUUUUCAACCUGUAAUUUUUGUAAAUCCACCCCCACUCCCAAGAAAUAAUUACAAUAAAUUCACAUAACUUUUUUAAAACUCAAAUAAAGAAAAAUUUUGGAGAUUUAAACUAUUGUAUACAAGAGGAUAAGAGUAAAUAUUUUUCAUGCAGUAUAAAAAGAAUGCGACAGCUCCUUUUCUUUCGGUAUUUUCACAACAAAAGCACACUUAAUAACUCAUCAAAUUAUUUCUCCUUUUCUUUGAUCGCUUCCCCUCUCCUGGAGCUGCUGAACUCCUUUGUUGCUGAUGAAGGGAACAAGUGAGGCUUUUCAAAAGAGGGCAAAGAGAUGGUGAUUCGAUUUGAUUCGAUAAUAGUAGUUUAUUUUAAUUGUUAUUCAUUUGAUUUCAUAGAAGUAAUUUUUAUUUUCAUUUUUUUGUUGAAAAUUGGUAAAAACGAACUAAAAUGAGAUAAUUACAUUAAAACAAUCUUCAAUGACUAAAGUAAUUUGAAAAAAUAAAAAUAAAAAUAAACAAGCUCAAAAUUUACCCCUAAUCCGAACAUUAUCCGAAUUCAGCCUAAUUGACCCAAAUCUAAUUGUAAUCCAAACUUGACAUGACCCGCAUAUAAUUAUAACCCGAUCAGAUCCAAACUCGACCUGAAUUUUUAAUUCAAUACGAUCCAAUCCAAAUAUUCCAAUCCCAUCAAAAUGAAACUUGAUUGGGUUGAUCCGAACCCGAAUUUGCCACUUCCGGAGGAGACCAUGACCCUAAAGGCUUUGAAAUAAUCUUUGCGGUUUCUUAAUGAAAUAGUAAAAGUUAUGCGCAAAAAGACUGUUUUGACCCUAGAAUACAUGAUAUAUAAAUUUCAGACAUUAUAUUCUGUGAAAUAAAGUCAAAGUAAACUGGUUGUUUGAUUUUUUAUUAAUUAUUUUCCAUUAUGACAAAAUGACAAAUAGACUUUAUUAAAAGUUUAAUAAAGUUUGGGCCUAACUCCUUGAUUUUUAUUUUUUUUAAUUAUUUUUCAUUUUGUUUUUUACUUGCAACAUUAGCUUUAAUUAUCAAUAGUCUCCAAAUCAAAAUGACUGCAACCUGUAGCUACAAGCAAAAUUCUCAAAUUUUGAAAUUUCUAACGACUACAUAAGAGCUAUAAAUAGAAAAAUCAUCUAAAAUUAAUCCUCCUUCAGAGGCAGAUUAAAUUCUUAGUAAUUUCAUAUAAUUUCAUUUCAUCAGAACAAUUUUCCAAAAGCAAUUUUAUAAAUGGUUGUCGAAAGCUUUAUCCCUUAAUUAUAUGUCACGUAUUUUCUUUGUGAUAUGAGGCGUGUCCAUAGACCAUAGUAUGAUAUUUAUUGUAAUUAAAAUCAUUAUGGAACUGAUUUUAUUCUUGUUUCUCAAACAAAAUAUCUAACUGCAGAUGUAAUAAAUUACUAAUUACCAUUAUUUGAGUCGCACUCUUUGAAUUGGAUCUUGGAGUUUCGAAUGACCAAAUGAAUUAGUGAGAUAAUGGCUUUUGCUUUUGUCUACCUGAUAAUAAAAUUUGUCCACCAUAUAGACAAGAAAUGGAUCGGAUCCAUAUGCUAUAGCUAAAUUGAAAAAUUUAUGUGGAGUUUUAUUGUAAGACAUUUUUAUCUGAAUAGAAAAAAUAAAUUUUUUUUAUUUUUAUCUAAAUGAUAAAAUAUCUGAAUAAAAAAUCAGUUUUCUUCUCACAAAUACCCUCAUUAAAUAUAUUUAUUUUCUACUUAGCUAUUAGAUGUCAUAUUAGAAUUUCCUUUGAUCUCAGAUUUUACUUGGUAUUAAAUACUUAAUCUGCGUUCGAUUCGAAUUUAGACAAAUUCUUUUGUCAUUAGAUAACAACGUUUUUACUGAAUUUGAUGUUCAUACAGAAACAGUCAAGUCCUUGUUGACUGAAAUUGGCAUUUCUCUUGUCUCUGCUCCUAUCAUUUGGUGUGAUAACCAAAGUGCAGCUGCCUUAGCAAGUAAUCCUAAAUUCCAAGAACUUAAAUUUAACUCUAAUAAAAGCUCAAAGUUAGUUAUGUUCCAAGUUCUCAUAAGUCAUAACUCAUCUGAUAUCCUUACUAAAGCUUUAGCUUAUCACCCUUUUCAUUAUCUGAGAGACAAGCUCACCCUGACUUCACUAGGCUGAGCUUGAGGGGAGAUGUUAAGAGUAUAAGCUGAAGCUGCUGAGCUGGCUGGUGACGUGCUGACGGUGUUGAGUUGACUAAUGUUUUGUAACUAAGUUGCUGAGCUGGAUUGGGUUGUUAUUUGCACUGAAUAAGUUGUAACGAAUUGUCCAGCUGGCUUGUUAUGAUUGGAAGGCUAAUUAGUUUGUUAAUAUUGCAGCUUUGAGCUCUGUUUCUGUAAUCAGUUUUGAGUGUAACUAUAAAUAUCACGCUCAUAAUGUAUGAUUUCAGCUUUAAUCAAUAAGAAUCUGUGAUUGUUCCAGAAACUUCAUAGUCAAAUUUUCUUUCUUAAUUUUCUUUCACUUUCUCUCGUGCCAAACACCUUAUUGAUUCAAAUAAAACUCCAUCCAAAGGCUCACGUUCCUCCACGUCUAUCACCAUGCAACCGUCGUCGUAAUGUGCUACCUUUGGUUACAUAGUAACCAUGUUAAAUUGGAUUUUCUAUAUGAUAUUAUCGUUAGCUUCAUUGUUUAAAUAUACCGUUAGUGAAAGAAUCGUUCGUGAUUAGGUACUUUACAACUACAACACGAUAAGCAAUCAAAGUUACAUGAAAGAAUCAGUAAUUAGUAGUUAGGUUAGAGGUGAAACGUGCAUGUUACAGGGAAGUAGAAAACAUGUCAAGUUGUUAUCAUAAAGUGAAUAUCCAAUUUAAGAAGAUAAUAACUGGAUUUUGAAUUCAAUUUCACUCUGUUUUAGUAGUAUGUAUUAUAUCUCACGAAUAUGAUAUCAGUGAAAAAUGUAUAAGUUAUGGGCUUUGAAUUUAUAUUAAUGCAUAUAUACUAGCUAUGAAAAUGACGAAUUCUAAACAGAUUUUGCUAUUUAACAAGUAAUUAAGAGGUCUAGCAAUCAAUUAAUAAAAAAGUAAUUCAAUAUAACAUUGCUACAAAGAAAUUAAACUAUAUAUAACAACUAUUUCAAUGAGACUAAUGAUAAUUAUAUCUAAGGUUUGAUCGAACAAACGGGCAAGAACAGCAAAAGCUAAUCUUAAUUUAGAAAUUUUUAUAAGGGGGGAGGAUUGUAAUAUACGCACUUGGACUUUCUUAAUAAAGUGCUGAUUUUUAUUUUCCUCUUCUCUAUUAAUUUUUAAUUUCGUCACUAUAGUUUAAUUGGGAUAAAUUGAGCUCGAUUAUACGCGCCGAUGGUCGGAUUUUAUUUUCGUAACGGGUCUGAAAUUCGCUUAAUUUGUAUUAAGCUUAAAAAAAAAAAAAAAAAAAAAAAAAAAAAGAGGGGCAGAAUUGUAUAACUGGAAAGAGGGAAACGGGUUUUCCAUUUUAGAGAGAAAGAACCCGAGAAGAGAGAGAAAGAUAGAGAGAGAAGUCAGACCCGUUGACCCGAGAACCCGACCCAGUAACCCGCGGAUUGACCCGACGAUUUCUCCCAACUCCAGCCACUUUACCGGCCGUGCUUGGUACCGAUCUGAAGCUUGGAAGCAGACCAUCGUAUCCCUGCUGUUAUCGUCGCCGGAAACUGGCCAGAACGCCGGUGAUCGAGCUCGAAAAGUCGCGGCUUCGACCCGUUUUCGUUGCCGUUGAUCCCGCCGGAGUUGUGACGCGCCACCACUUGGAACUGGUUCCUCACAUCCCCAGCAACAUUUCCCGACCAGCAACGACCGCCGGGGACGCCCGGAACUCGCCGAAUGAUCUCCGAAAAUUUGCGGAACUUUGGAACUUCGAUCCGCCGCCGGUAGCGCGCGUGGCGACUCACUGCCACCACCGUUGGAUUCAUCGAGGCCGGAACUAGCAGACCUAAGCUCCCCGUCAUCGUUGACUGAAGUCCGGUCACCGUUGACCGGCAGGGGCAAUUCGGUAAAUUCAUGAAACUUUGGGGUGAAUUUGUAAUUUUAUGUAAUCAGUGGACAUUUCGGUAAUUUUAUGCCCUGAGGGUAAUUUCGUAAUUUCGGACAAUGUGAUUAAUUUAUGUAAUCUGAAUUGAGGACAAUAUGGGUAUUAACGAAUAUGAGGAUAAUUUGGUAAAAUCAUGAAGUUUGAGGAUAAGUUGGUAAAAUAUUGAUGUUGGGGUAUUUUGGUAAUUUUGGCCUAUAGGGGCAUUUUGGUAAUUUUAUACAUGCGGGACUAGUUUAUCGUUAAUAGAUAUUUGUUUCGAGAUUUAUUAUAUUAAUUGGUUUUUACGGAGAAUAAUUAUGGUGUUUUCCGUGAUUAGGAGGAUCCGCAUCCGCGAACGAGAAUCUACCCGCGGACGUUGUUGAUACUGAGUCUAGACAUCAUCACUGUGAGUGGAAUAUACAAAACCUAUUUUCAUAGUAUAUGCUGAUUUUCUUAUAUAGUACAGUAUGUUUGAGAAAUAAAUGUUUAAUGCGUUGAUUUAAUGAUUUUCCAGCGAAUUGACUUUUAUUUAUGUGUUGAUAUUUAUUAUGAUUGAGAAUGAGUUCGAUUUAUGAUUUUAUUAGCGUUUUUGAGUAAAAGCAUGAUAUUAGAAUUGAGCAGACUUGAGAUAUGUUGAAUAGAAAGAAAAUGAGAUUUCAGAUGGGAUCAUAUGUUUACUAUCAGUUUUGAAAUCAUUAGACAGUACCCUUCCCUCCAGAUACAGAGAUACAGAUAAAAAGAGAUACAGAUAAGAGAUACAGAUAAGAUGAGAUAGAGGCCUUUGGGGCCCGUCGGGACACACAUAGAGGCUUUGGGCCGUGUGUUCGGGCGCUUUUGCCUUUUGGGGGCUUAUGCAUGCACAGUACAGAUAUAUGAGAUAAGAGAUAUGAGAUAUGAGAUGAGAUCGUCCCCAUCUAUCCGUUGUGGCUCCGGGGCGUGACGUUACCCAGAUAGUGCGUUAUUGCCUGGCCGUUGUAGCCCGGAUAUGAUCAGAUUAUCCCCUGGGUACUUGUUUGAUGACAGUUUUUAGUAUUCAGUAUUUAAUAUGAGUAUGGUGAUUCCAUCGAUUUUAUGCAGAUUUAUUAUUGCAGUUAUUCAAUUUGAAUUAAAUGAGUUUAUGAUAUUUUGAGAAAUUGAUUUGAGAAUUGAUUUACGAAAUUGAAAUUGAUUUAAGAAAAGAUUUGAGAAAGAUUAAAUGAUUUUGAAUAAUUUAUUAAAGUAUCAGCACCUACUAUCCACUCACUGAGCUCACUGAGUUUUAUACUCACCCCUCUUUUAUUAUAUUUUUCCCCCCACAGGAGAUUUACAGGUACAUCAGUCAACCCAGUAGUGAACGUUAGUUUGAUAUUGUGGUCACGUGAUGGUGCUAGAAGUCGUGGAUUUUAUUAUUAUAUUCGAAAUUUGUGUUAUUAUUUUAUGUUAUUAAGGAUAAUCGUUGUAUUUUAAUAUUCGGAUGAUUUUGGUGAUAUUUGAGAAGUUGGUUUGAGAAGUUGGUUAUGGAGGAUGUUUGGUUAUUAAAUUAUUUCGGGAGUGUUAUUUUGUCAAUUGCAGGGUUGGAUAUGUUUUAUUUAUAAGGGAGACUCUGCCGAAAUUUUUAUAGAUUUGUUAUUAAUUCGAUUUUACGAGUUUAGAUAGACUCGCCCUGGGGGAGGUUGCGGGGCGGGUCGUUUCAGUUGGUAUCAGAGCAUGGUUUUAGAUUCUGUAGACUUUAUGGUCGUAAAUAGAAUAAGUUUUGAUUAUUAAGUCGGAUUUACUAUUUUGUAGGCACCAUCAUAAUUAAAUUAGUUAGAAGUAAAAUUAUCUCUCUAGUAUUAUGCAAGGGUAGAAAUUUGGGUUGUACCAUGUUAUAAUUAUCAAGGAUAGUUUUGAUAGAAUUCUAAUUGUAAUAUAUGACUGUAUAAAAAAAAAAGAACAUUAAUGAAAGAUGUUUAGGUAAGGACUAUCUUGGAAUAGAAUUUUGAUUGUAAUAUAUCAAUAUAUAAAAAAAAAAUUUAUGAAAAAUGUUUAACAAGGACUGUUUUGAUAUUUUAAUGAGUAGUAAAAAUUAAUGUUAAAAUUUGAUAGAACAUAUAUAAAUAAUCCUAGCUCUAAUAAAAUUUUGCUACAUAAUUAGUUUAUCCCUUAAAGAAACAUAUCAAAAAAAUAUACAAAAACACAAUGCAUGAGUACAUGUCAAUCACAAAUGAAAGCAAUUAAGAUAAAGAAUAUGAUUUAUUUUAUUUUAUUUUAGUUAUUUUUUUGUUUCUUUUGAAACAAGACCAAUUAGAUCUGCAAGAAGUAAUUUUUUAAAAAAAUAAUAAAAAAAGGAGAAAUGAUGAAACCCACGUCCAAAGAUGCCGUUGUCGCGGAGGCCUAGAUCUCACUACACCCCAUCCCCUUCUACCAUAUUUUAUAAUUGAAGAGGCCAUUAUUGAAUUGAAAAAUUAUGAUUCAAAUAUCCAAAAGUAGAAAAAGAAAAGCAAUUGUUGGAAACACACUCGGAGUUUUAAAUUGACAUGAGAAAAGAAUAUAUUCAUCAACCUCAUACGUUAAUGAUGCGACGAGUUUAAGAAUAUAUUCCUAACGUGUGGGAAUUUAAAGACGUUACUACAAAACAUGUGUUCGUCGGUGGAGUAGAAUCAGGGAAAUUAAAGAUGCUACUACAACCACUAACGUGUGGGUGGAGAUAAGCAUAACUUUUUUCAUCAAAUGCCAAAUCCCCCCAGGUGGAGAGUGGGGACUCCUUCGCAUAAAUGUUGAUAAAAUUUUGACUAUGAUGUUAUUAGGAAUUAAGGGAAACUGUGGUGCAAUUGUGGUAUCGUGUCACAGUUGUAUUUGGUCGUUGGAUGUCAGUAGACCCUACCCAUAUAAGUGUAUCUAAUGGCUAAAUGUAAUUAUAACACGGUACCGCAAUUGCACCGUAGCCGAACCCUAAAAAUUAAGAUAUUCUCUCUCUACGUAUGCCUGCACGAAAUAAAUAAUAUGCAAAUAUAGUAUUUUAGUUUAUUAUUAAUAGUUUUACAAUAAUAAAAAUCAUUUUGAUAGACUGGAAAAUGUCAUAUUCGCAUUUUAUUUUGUACGGACGUCUGCGAGAAAGAACAUAUAUAUAUAUAUAUAUAUAGAGGAACGUGUAUUUAAGAUUUAGCUAGUGUGAAGUUGGGAAAUUUUUUUUUUGAACCCAGGCUAAAAUUAUUUCAAUAAAUUUUGAUCAUGGAGACUAAUAAGAUUUUUUUAGUUAUAUUUAUUAAUUUUUUAGGGACUAAUAAAUUUUGAUCAUGGAGACUAAUAAGAUUUUUUUAGUUAUAUUUAUUAAUUUUUUAGGGACUAACAUGAAUAUUAAUAAUUUUAUUGAGAUUAUUAAAAAAACAAUGUGCUAUUUUACAUCUAUGACUUUUCCAAUCUUUUUUUCUUUCGUUAUUUAUUCCUUUGUGAAUUUUAGUUAAUGCUUGAUAUUAUUUUUUUGCUCAUUUUUUAAAGCAGUAAUUAAAUCUGAACCCUUACAGUAGAAGAUUAUGAAAAAGUAAAGACACAAAAAUCAUAAAAAUCAUUAGUACGUCCAAAUUGUGCUAUUUUCAUACAUAACUUGAGAAUAUUUAUAAUUACGCAUCAGAACUAGUGGAGUAGAAUCAGGGAAAUUAAACAUUCUACAAUCAUUGACGUGUGGGGUGGGGAUAAGCAUAAACCUUUUCUAUGCAGUAUAAAAGAAUGCAAUAACUCCUUUUGUUUCAUAUCUUCGCAGCAAAAGCACAUCUAAUAACUCUUCAGAAUUCUCGUCUUCUUUGUCAGAAUGGUUGAUGCGAUCGUUUCCUCUCUCCUGGGGCAGCUGAGCUCUGUUGCGGCUGAUGAAGUGAAACAGCAGGUGAGGCUUGUGACUGGUGUCCGACAAGAAGUGACAAAGCUUACCAGCAAUCUUCGAGCCAUUCGAGCUGUGCUGGAAGAUGCAGAGAAAAGGCAAAUGCAGCGCGACAAUGCUGUUACUUUUUGGCUGGAUCAGCUCAAAGACGCAUCUUACGACAUGGAAGACGUGUUGGAGGAGUGGACCACUGCAAGGCUCAAAUUGCAGAUUGAAGGCGUUGAUGAUGACAAUGCUCUUGCUCUUGCUCCUCAUAAGAAGAAGGUACGCUCCUUCUUUUGUGCUGUAUCAAACUGGUUUGGUAGUUUCAAACAACUUAGUCUUCGUCAUGACAUUGCCGUCAAGAUUAGGGAAAUCAAUGGAAAGCUAGAUGGUGUUGCCUCCCAAAAAGAUACGUUUAAAUUUGUUGAGAAUGUGAGCAACAAUGUUAAGAAACCAGAGCGAGUGCGAACCACCUCCUUGAUUGAUGAGGGAGAGGUUUGCGGUAGAGUUGAUGAGAAAAAUGAGCUCUUAAACAAGUUGUGUGAAAGUAGUGAACAACAACAAGGCCUUCAUGUCAUCUCACUAGUUGGGUUAGGGGGUAUAGGUAAAACCACUCUUGCACAACUAGCCUAUACUAAUGAUGAUGUGAAAAGAAAUUUUGAAAAAGUUAUAUGGGUGUGUGUAUCAGACACUUUUGAGGAGAUUAGGGUCGCCAAAGCAAUCAUUGAAGGUCUAGGCAUGUCAGCUUCUGGUUUAAGCGAAUUCGAAUCUCUUGUGAAACAGAUUCAGGAAUAUAUUACGGGGAAGAAAUUUUUUCUUGUUUUAGAUGAUGUGUGGGAUGUAGAUUACAAAAAAUGGGACCCAUUCUUUUCUUGUCUAAAGAAUGGCCACCAUGAAAGUAAAAUUCUAAUUACCACACGUGAUAGGUCAGUUGCACUACAGUUGGGAUCAAUAGAUAUUAUCCCUGUCAAGGAGUUGGCUGAAGAGGAAUGCUGGUCGUUGCUCGAGCGGUUAGCAUUCUUCCGUCGUUCUGUUGAUGAUCAUGAAAAAUUAGAACCAAUCGGGCGAAAAAUUGCACACAAGUGCAAAGGCCUGCCUCUUGCUGCAAAGGUAAUAGGGAAUCUCUUGCGCUCUAAAAUUACAGUAAAAGAGUGGCAAAGAAUUUUAGAUAGUGAAAUGUGGAAAGUACAAGAGAUUGGGCAAGAUCUUUUGGCCCCUUUGUUGUUGAGUUAUAACGAUUUGCCCUCCAAUUCUAUGGUAAAACGGUGUUUCUCAUAUUGUGCUGUCUUUCCAAAAGACUACGAGAUGGAUAAAGAGGAGUUGAUUGAUCUGUGGAUGGCUCAAGGUUACCUUAAUGCAGAAGAAGACGAAGAGAUGGAGAUGAUUGGGGAAGAGUGUUUCAACAUUUUAGCAGCACGCUCUUUCUUUCAAGAGUUUGAGAAAAAUGAUGAUGAUGAUGAUAUUAGGAGUUGCAAGAUGCAUGACAUAGUACAUGAUUUUGCCCAAUUUGUAAGUAGAAAAGAAUGUUUGUGGGUAGAAAUGUAUGAUAACAAAGAAUCAGUCAUAAAGUCUUCUGGUGUCAAAGUCCGUCACUUAGGGUUAAAUUUUCAAAGAGGAGCUUCAUUUCCUACGUCCUUUUUUGAAUUUGAUAGAUUGCGUAGCCUCUUAAUUUAUGAUAGAAGUUAUUCCAAUCAGGUUCUUAAUAGUAAAUUGGCGUGUUUAAGGACAUUAGUUAUAAGGCAAUCGUUCCAAUAUUUUUAUCCUAUUUCUCUUGACUCAAAUGCGAUUAGAGAAAUUCCAGAAAAUGUUGGAAAAUUGAUACAUUUAAAAUAUCUUAAUUUGUCUAAAUUAGCCAUAGAGAUACUACCUGAGACUUUGUGUGAAUUAUAUAAUUUACAAAAGCUAGAUAUUAGGGAGUGCCGAUAUCUUAGGGAAUUGCCAGCGGGGAUUGGGAAGUUAAAGAACAUGAGAAGUUUACUGAAUGAUAAAACUUAUUCAUUGAAGUACAUGCCAAUAGGGAUUUCCAGAUUGACCAGCCUUCGAACAUUAGAAAAGUUUGUUGUGGGUGGAGGUGUUGAUGGUGGCAGCACGUGUAGGCUUGAAUCUCUGAAAAAUCUUCAACUCCUUCGUGAAUGUAGAGUAGAAAGGCUGAGUAAUGUAUCGCAUGUAGAUGAGGCUGAGAGGUUACAACUUUACAAUAAGAAAAACCUCCUUCGUUUGCGUCUUUGGUUUGGUGGAGUCGUAGAUGGGGAAGGCGAAGAAGGGAGGAGGAAGAAUAUUGAGAAAGAUAAACAACUUCUUGAAGCCUUACGACCGCCUUUGAAUUUAGAGGAAUUAGGGAUUGUAUCCUACCAAGGCAACAUUUUUCCCAAAUGGUUGACUUUGCUAACCAAUCUAAGGAAUUUAUUUCUUUCCUCGUGCGUUAACUGUGAGCAUUUGCCUCCUUUGGGAAAAUUGCCUCUGGAAAAACUCAAACUAUGGAAAUUAAAAAGUGUAAAAAGAGUGGGUAAUGAGUUUUUGGGAAUAGAAGAAAACAGUGAGGACGACCCAUCUUCAUCUUCAUCGUCAUCAUCAGUUAUUGCCUUCCCCAAAUUGAAAUCACUCGAAAUUUGGGACAUGGAGGAAUUGGAAGAGUGGAAUUACAGGAUUACGAGGAAGGAAAACAUCUCCAUCAUGCCCCGUCUUUCUUUCUUAAAAGUUGUUUUUUGCAACAAAUUAAAGGCGCUGCCGGAUUACCUUCUUCAAACGACGGCACUGCAGGAACUGCGUAUUUUUUCUUGUGAUCUUCUAGAAGAACUGCCCAUUCUAGAAGAUCGCAGGACAACAGACAUUCCACGUCUUUCUUCCUUGCGAAUUUCGGAUUGCCCCAAAUUAAAGGUGCUGCCGGAUUACCUUCUUCGGACGACGACGCUGCAGGAAUUGACUAUUGACGAAUGUCCCCUUCUGGAAAACCGUUAUAGAGAGGGGAAAGGAGAAGACUGGCAUAAGAUAUCUCACAUUCCCCACAUCGAGUGGUAAAUUCUCGAAUGGUUGCAAUUACUAUCACCCACCGGUAAUUUCUCACCUCUAUUUUACUUUGUUGUUACUUCAAACAACGACACUGCAAACAUUGACAAUUUGUACAUAUCAAUAAAAUGUACAAAGUUAAAAAUAUAGAAUGCAUUAGUACAUGUCAAUAACAAGACCAAUUAGAUUAUGGCAUUGCUUUAUUUUAUUUAUUUAUUUUUUUGAUUCUUUUGAAACAAGAUCAAUUAAUUAGAUCAUGCUAGAAGUUAAUUUUUUUUUUCAAAUGAAAAAGGAGCAGUCAUACAAAGUUUGAAUAUAAAAUUUAUAAUCUAAAACUAAUAAUGUGACAAUUAGCAUGUUAUUAACCUAUCUAAUAGAGUAGGAAGUCCCAAAUACAUCAUAUUCUGCUCCAGAAAUCCAUUCCACCUAGAAUACUUCUUUCUAUUGAAAUUAAUGAUGAUUUGUUUGUUUGCAUCAUGAAAGUUAAAAAUAAUUUUAUGAGUAAUUUGAUUCUUUACGGUACAAAAAAUAAAUUUGGAAAGUACUAAUUUCUCUCAUACUUUUUGGGCUAAAAAAUAAAUGUAACUCCAACAUAUUUAUUAUUUAAUGGUUCUAUAUAGAAUCAAUCGUGGUAUAAAUAUGUAAAACUUCCUAGUUAUCAAUUUUGUCUUGCAUAAUGAUAAUCGUUUUUUUUUAUAUAUAAUUUAUGUGACAUUAAUUCUUUAAAGUAAUUGUGGAAUUGUUUUUACUACAUUAGCCCUCUUUGUUUUAUUUCAUACGAGUUUAAUUAUGUUCACCAGGGAUUCGAGGAAAUGUCAGAACCACACUAGCAAUUCACAGGUCCAAUCUAAUUUGGUUUUAAUGAUGCAGGCAGGAGAGUAUGCUAAGAAAAUGAAAAGUUUAGCCAAAGGAUUGCUAAAAUGUUCUGCUGGUAAUUCACUUGCUUUAUUUUAUAGAAUUUCAUUUCCAUCUUCUUCUAUUGAUAUCUUGUUGUGAAUAAACAAGAACAGAGAAGUAAAGAUAUAUCAAAAUUAACUAUUACGAUGAUGCUAAAGCAAGCUCAAGCUCAAGCAUUGCAUUUUUAUUUUAUUUAAUUUAUAGAAUUUUCAUUUCCACCUGCAUUGCAUUUUUAUUUAUUUUUAGGUUGACUUUGAAUACUUCAUGGUGAAAAUGACGAGUUCAGCCAAAGGAUUGCUAAAUGUUCUGCUGGUAAUUCACUUGCUUUAUUUUAUAGAAUUUCAUUUCCAUCUUCUUCUAUUGAAUCUUGUUGUGAAUAAAGAAGAACAGGUAAGUAAAUGAUUGAACCACAGAGAAGUAAAGGUGUAUCAAAAUUCGCUAUUAUGAUGAUGUUAAAGCAAGCUCAAGCACAAGCAUUGCACUUUAUAUUUUAUUUAGUUAAUAGAAUUUUCAUUUCCACCUGCAUUUCAUUUUUAGGUUGACUUUGAAGACUCUAUGGAGAACAUUGGGGUAACCAAGGAUUAUCACUGUGGUUAUUGUGCAACGUUUGGUUGCUGGACUUUGAAGAAGGAAGUGAUGGCCGGGUCUGCUCUGUUUCAAUUGAGGAUGGAUAGCUGCCUGAAAGACAUGAUGAUUAUUAUUGUGUGAUGUUAAGGUGCUGAGAUCAUCAUUGCUAUCUUGUUUCAUUCUUGGAAUCAUUUAUCCUGUAUAAACAUUUGUUUUAACAAAUGUUUCAAUGGCUGCUGUAGUAACAAUUUCAUAUCUUGCAUCUCUCGGGUGCAUCAUGAUCACGGGUUUGAGAAAGCAUUUGUGGUAAAGCUUCAAAGCUUGUACAAUGGCUGUGAAAAGGCACAUUCAAUUCGGUACGUUUGGUGCGGUCUCCUAAUGCUACUACCAUAUUUUGUAUAGCAAUUAAAAUUCAGGUAUACAAUCUUAAUAUGCAAUAAAUCAUUGAGUACAAAGUUAUCUAUUAAUUAUAUGGUAACUGAAAUUUUCAUUAUAAUUUUAAUUAUCAUAUUAAUAUUAAAGUUUUUUGUAACCCUCUUUUACUUUGCUUGUACAGAGUAUCUGUUUUGGCUGAUAUGUCUAAUUCGUAGCAAUUCAUUUCCAUCGGUUUCCAUUGGUUUUAGCACAAACAGAAACAAAAAUCUGGGGAAAAAGUUUUACUUCUUGUGGUAUUAUGCCUUUAUUUAUUCAUUCAUCAUAUUUGUUCGAAUUCAUGCUCUCAUUCAGAGAGCAGCCUUUUCCAGGCUACUUUGUAGCCAAAUUUUCAUGCCAUCGAUGCAUGAUUGUCAUUUAGAUUUUCCAAAUAAUUGUUAGAUUGAAGAAGAAUAAGAAGAUAUUGUUAAAAGGGUAUUUAAUUAGCACCCUCUGAAUUUAGUUGCCAAUAAUGCAUUGAAAUGGUUGGGGAAAGUUAUUGUCUCACUUAAAUUACAGGUGAUAAGAUGCUGCUCCAAUUUUGCAAGCAUCUCGUGUUGCGAAGAUUUUGCCCACAUGAGAUGUUAUGAUUUUUGACAUCAGGGUAACACAGGUCAAAUUUUAGCAUCAAUAGAUAUCAUCUUCUUUACUGUUCUGCUCGAAAUAUUAAACUUUAGGCAAGUUGUUUUUGGUUGUGUGAGUUAUCAGGUUAAGGAUACUAAGCAGCUUAUUAAGGCAAAUGUCAGAAUGCAGAUUGCUCACCACACCUGGUAUGCAUGAUGGCCAGGAAGAUUAAUUGUUCACAAGCCAAUUUGAUCAGUGUUAGAUUUUUUUCCUCCUUUCGAGGGACAUCAUCAUCAAAUUUGAGUAGAGAAUCUUUGAAGGGAAUUUUGUUGUAAGAGUUUCACAGUAGUGAAUUCUAGAAGCUCGAACUCACUUGAGUGAGAUAUUAGGGAGUAUUGGGGAUUUGGGUUAUGAGUAAUCAUUAUCCUUCCAAUAUGUGUAAGCACUCACUUGUUAGUAAAAUCAUCUUCGUAUAUUGACUAUGUUUCUUUGUUAUCAGGUAGAGUGUGAUCUUCAAGGGUUUGAGAAAGUCCUUGCAGUAAAGUUUCCACCACAAGUAAUUGCUCAGUUUCAGAUUUUCUAGGCGUUUAAUUAGUUUCGAUUAUAAUAUUUAGUCACUCAUUCUGAAUCUUUUCUAAUUUUCAAGUUCCUUAGGGUCACAAUCAUUUUUUCAAGUCUGCUGUGGCUGCAAAAAGAUUGUUGGUCAUAAAAUUAUCUUGACCCUUGAGCCAUUGCGUUUGAGCACAAACAGAAACAGAGCUAAAGGAAAAGAACUUGACGCAAGAAGAUGCUCUGAAUAUAACAAAAGUAUAUUUCUACUUCUUGUGGUUAUUUACUUUUGUUUCUCCUGUCAGCAUAUUUGAUUAAUUCGUUCGAAUUCACACUCUCACACAUUAUUUAAAACCAUUUGUAGGUGGCUUGCAAGCUAAUUAAGUUAAUGCAGAAGCAAUACUCUAGACUUUAGUGAAGUUGUUUUUGUUUGUGUAAGUUAUCAGGUUAAGGAUACUAAGCAGCUUAUUAAGGCAAAUGUCAGAAUGAAGAUUGUUCACCGCACCUGGUAUGAAUGAUGGCGAGGAAGAUUAAUUGUUCACAAGCCAAUUUGAUCAGUAUUAGAUUCUUUUGCCUCCCUUCGAGAGAUAUCAUCAUCAAAUUUGAGAAGAGAGUUUUGUUUUGACAUUUCACUGUAGUGAAUUUUGGGAGCUUGAACCCACUUCAGUGAAAUAUUAGGGAAUACUGGGGAUAUGGGUUAUGAGUGAUCGUUAUCCUUCAAAUAUUUGUAAGCUCUCACUUGUUAGUAAAACCAUCUUCGUAUAUUGACUUUGUUUCUUUGUUGUCCGGCCGAGUGUGAUCUUCAAGGUUUGAGAAAGUCUUCGCAGUAAAAUUUCCACCACGUGCAAUUGCAGUGAAGGGGCAUAUACAUUUGAGUAAUUCAGUUUCAGAUUUUCAAGGCGCGUUUGUUUAAUUAGUUUCGAUUAUAAUAUUUAGUCACUCAUUCUGAAUCUUUUCUAAUUUUCAAGUUCUUUAGGGCCGCCAACAGUUUUUCAUGUCUACAUGUGGCUGCAAAAAGAUUGAUGGUCAUCAAAUUAUCUUGAGCCUCGAGGCAUUGCAUUCGAGCACAAAGGGAAACAGAGCUAAGGGAAAUGAAGACAGUAGGAGAUGCUCUGAAUAUAACAAAAGUAUAUUUCUACUUGUGGUUAUUUUAAUUUUGUUUCUCCUGUCAUCAUAUUUAAUUAAUUCGUUUGAAUUCACACUCUCACACAUUAUUUAAAACCAUCUGCAGGUGAUAGAAUAUGGGAGACGUUGUUAAUGGAAAAACAGUACUCUAGACAAAGAUGAGCAAAUUGAAGGCGACAAAUGCAAAUUGGAUUUCCAUGAAUAAUUGUUAGGCUGGUGGAGAUAUUCUUAAAAGGGCAUUAAGCUAUCUUAUGGAAUUGGAAAGUUAUUAUUACUUGAAAGCAAGCAGCAUCUUCGUUGCGAAGGCUUUCCCCACUUGAUAAGAUGCUGAGAUUGUUAUCGGCCCCUUAAUUAUUUAUUAACUCAGGUAUUUAUUAUCAGUACAUCAUCUUAUUCACCAUUUUGGCUGUAUAUAAAGAUUAAAAUUUCUAACAGUUGUUUCGGAUUCUUGUGUACUCAGGUUAAUAGGGCAAAUGUCAGAAUGAAGAUUGCUCAGUGCAACCGAUAUAGCAAGGAUGAUAGUUGUGAGGAAGAUUGUUGGCAAGCCAAAUAGAGCCCUCCAUUUGGAGAAAUAUCAUCCUCAAAUUUGAAUUGUUGAGCAUGUGAGGUGAAGCUAAAGCCUUAAUAAUGAGACCUUCCUGUGGAAGUUUCAUUUGAAUGAAUUGAACGUUCUUAGUGAGUGAGAAAUUAAGCAUAUAUCAGCGAUUUUGGUCGUCAGUGAAUGUUUUCCUUCAAUAUUAAUACACUGGCAUUUCUUAGUAAAUUCCCUUCACGUCACUUCCUCCUUGUUGGUGGGAUUAGUAAACAAAUGCCAUUUCUUAGUACAUUUUGAGAAUUUUGACUCCCAAAUAAGCCUGCAGAGCGGUGUAUGGUGGGAUUAGCUGCAGGAUUCUUUGCCAAACUUCCUUUUUAUUCCUUUGUUCACUUAUUCGUUAUAAAUAAAGUAAAAUUAGAAUAUUGUUCCGUUUACUGUCUAAGCUGGUCUAACAUUUGUUUAAUUUGGGCAAUUUUUAAUGCCUAACAGGUUAUCUGUGACAAACCCAUCAGUGAGUGUAUGCAACUAUUGCGUGGAUUUGAUAGAGUGGUCACCAACAAUUUUGAAGUUAUUGGAGUAGCACGGCUUUGAGGUCUCUCCCUCCCUCUUUUACGUAUUUGUCUAUUGAUCGACAUGUCUAUAUAUACAUUGAUAGACCAACUUACUCUUGUUUUAAUGUUUUGUUUGUUAAAAUUUGACUGGGUUAUGUUUAUUUGUCUCAUAUGAUGUCAAUGUGGUUCCUAUUGAAGUGUAUAGAUCUGUCACCUCAAAGUCUGAUUUCAAUUUUCCUUUACUUCAUCAACUAGCAUCCUUUCCAAGUCCAGAUACUUACCAAUAGUGAUACUUUGCUACGGAAGUACAAUUUCUCUUGUUUUACAGUUAAUUAUGAAAGAAAAGUUUUAAAUUUACAGAAUUCUGGUAUAGCUCUCUUAAGGAAAUGCGAGUGGUGAAUAUGGUUCCAACUUUUAAUAGGCUUAAUAGGCCCAUUUGUUGAGCCACAGUGAUUGCGGUGUAAAUUCUUCUUUACUGUCUAUAUGUGUUGGAGUUUGUCUAUUGUCCAACUUCUCAAAUCGAUUCCAUGCAGGGUUUUGAAUGUCUAAUUAGGAGAACGAUUAACGGAUGACCUUUUGAAGAAGGCUUACACAACAGGCCAUCUCGGGAUGUCAUGGCUCAGCUCAAAAGUCCCCAGGUGGGUGAUAUCAAAGAAUGCCAUUGUUUCUGGGCUUGGUCUCCUUGGCAUCAAACAAGAUAAUGUUGACUGCAUAAAUUUGUUGGAGUUAAUGUAGUCAAUUGCCCAAUUUCGCUGCCUAUCGAAGAGACACAUCAUGGAAGUCCUCAUCAAACUCUGAGACACCUAAGAAAUAGUAGGAGGUGGUGGUACUUGCCUGGGGUUAAUUUCCUGGCAAGUAUAGUUCACUGAUAGAGGGAAUCUUCUCUUGAUGUCUAAAUACCGUAUGUGAUACAACGUCGUAUAUUCUAAUUUUCCUUGAGUUAAAUUCUAGUCAGUUAGGAAAGUUAAUUUUGUUUUCGCUAUGGAUUGUUUCCUAGAUAAUAAUAGUUUCCAUGUUCCUUUGGGGUCUUAUUAACUCUCUGUAACCCAGUUCAAGUUUGCAAAUUCUAUUUCAGAUUUCUCAUAUAGUGUGCCUUUGUGACUUCUGUGAUACACUUUUGAUCACAAGUUUCCAUUUGAAGUAGCCAAUAUUCUUUAUAGACUAAUUAUCUAAGGAUUAUUUUAUACAAAAAAUGAAAACUUUAAUUAAUUGAUCAUACUUAACUUAGCUCUUGUUUAAUAUUACGAGCUGUUGUGAGAACAAAAAAAUAGCAGAAAGUUGACAGUGUGCAGUAAAUGUAUGACUUUUAAAUAAUAAUUUAAUAAAAUUAAUAAAGAUAUUAUAAGUUUUUUAAUAAUAAAGUAUGAGAUCAAAUUAAAUUAAUUAAUUUUGAAUUAUUUUAUUAUUGUCAAAAUGUAAUAUCUUAAAUAACAGUUAUUUUUAUUAAGAAUAUUUUUUUGGUAAUGAAUUAUACUUUUUAAAAUAUAAUUGAAAAUUCUUAUUAAUGAACUAAUAAAAAAUUAAUUAUUUGAGUUAUCUCCUAAACUACUUAGCUCACGAGAUAAAUUCACUUAGUUUAGAACGAAGCGGUGGGUUUUAUGUGGGAAGCCACAUCCUUACCACAUCAACCUCAACAUCGAAACAUGGAAUUGGACUAAAAAUAGUUCUUUCCCAUGUAUUUACGUAACCUCCUCCCAGUAAACGCAAAUAUGUAUUCUUGAGUGCAUGUAAUCCACAAGUUUGAUUGAGUAGAAGAUGUCGUUGUCACAAAGGCCUGGACGCCAUACCUCGAAUGAUAUGUUAGUAUGAAAUUAUGUUUUUUUUUUUUUUUUUGAGAGAGGUAUGAAAUUAUGUGAAAAUUAAUAUAUCACUUUUUUUUUCUUUUUUCCUUUUUUGCGUGAGUGAUGGCUUCGUUGAAUGACAGUUGGCAAAUAAUAAGUUAUCUUUUAAUUUUGGUUUUGAUUUGAAAAAAAUAUUAAUUUUUGUAGUUUCGGUAGAUGAAAUUUCGAAUCAAAUAUUAAUAUUGUUAAAGUACGCAACCCAAUAUUUGCUUAAAUUACAAAAAAGAUUAAUUACUUUGCAUAAAAAAAAAGUGAUCACUUGAUUUAACUUCCUUUACUAAAUUUACGAUUUAAAAUCCAAAAUAAAAAAAAGGAAAACAAUUUUUGGACACACACUCGGAGUUUUAAAUUAAUAUGAAAAACGAGUUUAUUAUUGAUAGGAAAACAAUCAAGUGAUCACUUGAUUUAACUUCCUUUACUAAUUUUACGAUUUAAAAUCUAAAAUAAAAAAUUGUUUAUUAUUGAUUGUCUUUUUCCCAAAAUUUAAGCUAAAACAGUAAUAUGUCCAAAAUACCCUCCACGUUAUCCUAAAACUUUAUAAACUCCCCCGUUCCUCUCAACAUCAUCUCUUCCAAAUCUUUCUCCCCCAAAAAACCAGCCAUGGCUUCAUAUUUAGUUACCUCAACACUCCAAUAUUGGCUUGUAAACAGUAGUGGUUCGACCUCUAGGCAACUUAGGUGGUUGUAUAGGACUCCGCUUUAUAUGAAAACCCUACGAGAUGAUUAUUUUGUAUAUAAAAGAGGAAAAUGAAUUUAAAAGUGAUUAUUAUUUAUUUAAUUUAUUAUUAUUUUGUAAUUAUCUUUUUCUAAAUAAACUAUCAAAUUCUUAUAAAGUUUAUUUAAUGUACUACUUAAUUGUUUUAAUUAAUUUCUACAAAACCAAUAAAUUAAUAGUUUCAAUCCUAAACAUUCUCUAUUUCAUUGUUAGAAUUAAUAAGUUAUAUUUCAAAAGUUUUAUAUUUAUUUUAAACCUCUAUAAAAGCCCCACAUUUUAUUACUUAUCCAUUACAUUUUUCCUCCAACAAUCAAGACAUCUUGGUGUUUUAGAGAAAGAAAGAGAAAGAAGGAAAAAAAUCUUGCUUCCCCUACUUUCUACUCUAGAAGAAACAGAAAAAAUCUAAUAGUUUUCUCUAUUUUCUAUGACUAUUGGUCGUUACUCAAAUUUUCAAACAAUAGCCUUAAUAUAAAUAUAAGUUAAUUUAUGAUUUCAUCUCAAAUUUUUGAUUUUAUCUUUUUAUUAUUCUCUUAAUUAGUUGUGUUUUAUUUGUUCUUAUUUCUUUUUAAUAUAUUCUUUUAUUCAUCUAAUUUUUUUUUGUGCUUGUUUUAUCUAUUUUGAAAUAAAACUAUAUCAAAAAACUUUAGACAAUAGAAGAAUAGAAAAAUUAGUUUAAUUUAAAAAAAAAAGUAAAAAGAUAUAAUUUAACUUAAAAAAAUAAAUGAAAAUGUUAUAAUUGAAUUAAAAUUUUAUGAAUUAACAUCAAUGGAAUGAAUUUUUAUUUAAUAAUUUUACAUUUUAAAGUGUUUAAAGAAUUAAUUUUCAAUAAAUAAUAUACGUUAUAUACCUUCUAGAAGAUAUAUAACGUAUUUCAAUAAAUAAUUGUACAUUAUGAAUUAACAUCAAUGGAAUGGAUUACCUUCUUCAAACGACGGCACUGCAGGAACUGAGUAUUUCUUAUUGUCCAAUUAUGGAAGAACUGCCCAUUCUAGAAGAUCACAGGACAACAGACAUACCACGUCUUUCUUCCUUGCGAAUUUGGAAUUGCCCCAAACUAAAGGUGCUGCCGGAUUACCUUCUUCGGACGACGACGCUGCAGAAAUUGACAAUUUGGGGAUGUCUCAUUCUGGAAAACCGUUAUAGAGAGGGGGAAGGAGAAGACUGGUAUAAGAUAUCUCACAUUCCCCACAUCAAGUGAUCGCCGUAAUUUAUCACUCGCCGGUAAUUUCUCCUCCGCCUCUGAUUUACUUCGUUGUUGCUUGCAAUGAAAUUAAUAAAAAUAAUUAUAUUUUGAAUUAAAAUUUCUAUACUUAUUUACUUUUAAAAAAUAUGUGCUCUUUUGUAAAAUUUCAUGCAAUGUAAUUUAUUUUUUAAUGUACGAUAAUUUGUUGUGUGUAACUUCCUGAGAGACAAAAUCUCUGUGAUACAUUUGCAGUAAUGUUGAAAACUAAAUUAUCAAUUUUAUCUUGUAUAAUGAUAAUCUUAUUUUUUUAUAUAUAAUUUAUGUGACAUUAAUUCUUUAAAGUAAUUGUGUAAUUGUUUUUACUACCAGUUUAUGUUUCAUUUUAAUUAUGUUCACCAGGGAUUCGAGGAAAUGUCAGAACCACACUAGCAAUUCACAGGUCCAAUCUAAUUUGGUUUUAAUGAUGCGGCAGGAGAGCAAGACUAUGAAAAUGAAAAGUUUAGCCAAUGGACUGCUAAAAUGUUCUGCUGGUAAUUCACUUGCUUUAUUUUAUAGAAUUUCAUUUCCAUCUUCUUCUAUUGAUAUCUUGUUGUGAAUAAACAAGAACAGAGAAGUAAAUGAUUGAACCACAGAGAAGUAAAGAUAUAUCCAAAUUCGAUUAUUAUGAUGAUUAAAGCAAGCUCAAGCUCAAGCAUUGCAUUUUUUAUUUUAUUUAGUUUAUAGAAUUUUCAUUUCCACCUGCAUUGCAUUUUUAUUUCAUUUUUAGAUUGACUUUGAAGACUCUAUGGAGAACAUUGGGGUAACCAAGGAUUAUCACUGUGGUUAUUGUGCAACGUUUGGUUGCUGGACUUUGAAGAAGGAAGUGAUGGCCGGGUCUGCUCUGUUUCAAUUGAGGAUGGAUAGCUGCCUGAAAAACAUGAUGAUUAUUAUUGCAUGAUGUUAAGGUGCUAAGAUCAUCCUUUCUAUCUUGUUUCAUUCUUGGAAUCAUUUAUCCUAUAUAAACAUAUUGAAUUGUGCUAAUAUUAUCAUAUGCGUAAAUGGAGGCAGGAAUUUGGUGUUGACACUAUUAUGCAGGUAACCACACUUGAUAAUUGGCACAAAUUUGCGUUGUCAGAAUAUCCUUUAAUAUUCAACGUGUCUCUUUGUGUUAUCAGGAGUAUCAUGUCCAAGGGUAAAGGUGCUGCCGGAUUGGUGGAUGCCCCAAAUUAAAGGUGCUGCCGGAUUACCUUCUUCAAUCGACGACACUGCAGAUAUUGAGUAUCUUUUUGUGAAAAUAUGGAAGAACUGCCCAUUCUAGAAGACCGCAGGACAACAGACAGAUCACUUGCCCCAAAUUAAUGAUGCUGCCGGAUUACCUUCUUCAAACAAUGACACUGUGGAUAUUGAGUAUUUAUGAAUGUCCUAUUCUGGAAAAACGUUACAGAGAGGGGGAUGGAGAAGACUCGCAGAAUGUUAAGGUGCUAAUAUCAUCAUUUCUAUCUUGUUUCAUUCUUGGAAUCAUUUAUCCUAUAUAAACAUAUUGAAUUGUGCUAAUAUUAUCACUUGUGUCAAUGGAGGCAGGAAUUUGGUGCUGAAACUAUUAUGCAGGUAACCACACUUGAUAAUUUGCACAAAUUUGCGUUGUCAGAAUAUCCUUUAAUAUUCAUUGUGUUUCUUUGUGUUAUCAGGUUAUCAUGGUAUACAGAGUAUCAUUUUCAAGGGUUUGUAAGAGCUUUCGCAGUAAAGUUAGUCAUCACCACCUUGUGCAAUUGCACAUACAUUCAGAGUACUUCAAUAUUAGAUUUUCAAGGUUUGUAUGUUUAGUUGCGAUUAAAAUUUUUAGUCACUCAUUCUUAAUCUUUUCUAAUUUUCAAGUUCUUUAGGGCCAUAAACAGUUUUUCCAACUCAUUCUUAUUUUUUAGGUUGAUUUCGAGUACUCUGUGGAGAACAUUAGUGAGACAAAGGAUUAGACUGGCGAUGGAACUGCUGCCUCUGUUGUUAUUGUGCAAGGUUUGAUCACUGGACCUUGAACACGAAAGCCUUACACGCAUUCUGUAAUUCAAGCGUUCUCUAAAACGAACGAGCAGUAGAAGGAAUAGUGAUGACCGGAUCUGCUCUAUUUUAAUUGAAGAUCUCUGUGAUAUUGAGGGGCUUAAAGUAGUUGAUGCUUUUUGAAAAUUGUUAUUACGGAUGAAUUCAUUCCUGAAGACGAGUAGCUAAUGAUUGUUAAGGCUUAUUUUCUUAAAGUUCCUUUCUUAACAAGUGUUUCAAUGCUGGCUGUAGUAACAUUUUCAUAUCUUGCAUCUCUCGGGUGCAUCAUGUUCACAUGUUUGAAAAGGCAUUUGUGGUAAAGCUUCAAAGGUUGUACAAUGGCUGUGAAAAGGCAUAUUCAAUUCGGUACGUUUUGGUGUGGUCUCCUAAUGCUAAUAUGAUAUUUUGUAUAGCAAUUAAAAUUUAGGUAUACAAUCUUAAUAUGCAAUAAAUCAUUGUGUACAAAGUUUUCUAUUAAUUAUAUGGUGACUGAAAUUUUAAUUAUCAUAUCAAUCUUAAAUUUUUUUGUAACUCACUUUUACUUUGCUUGUACAGAGUACCUGUUUUGGCUGAUAUGUCUAAUUCGUAGAAAUUCAUUUCCAUCGGUUUCCAUUGGCUUUAGCGCAAACAGAAACAGAGCUCUGGGAAAGAGUUUGACUUCUUGUGGCAUUAUGCCUUUGUUUCUUCAUUCAUCAUAUUUUUCAAAUUCAUGCUCUCAUUCAGAGAGUAAAGCCUUUUCCAGGCUGCUUUGUAGACAAACUUUGACUCCAUUGAUGCAUGACUGUCAUUUAGAUUUUCCAAGAAACUGUUAGAUUGGAGAAGAAUAAGAAGAUAUUGUUAAAAGGGUAUUUAAUUAGCGCCCUCUGAAUUUAGUUUCCAAUAAUGCAUUGAAAUAGUUGGGGAAAGUUAUUGUCUUAAUUAAAUUACAGGUGAUAAGAUGCUGCUUCAAUUUUGGAAGCAUCUCGUAUUGCGAAGAUUUUGCCCACAUGAGAUCCCGUGAUUCUUGACAUCAGGGUAACGCAGGUCAAAUUUCACUUUCAAUAUAUAUCUCUUCUUUACUAUUCUGCCUCUAAAUAUUAAACUUUAGGCAAAUUGUUUCUUGUUUGUGUAAGUUAUCAGGUUAAGGAUACUAAGCAGCUUAAUAGUUCGCCACACCUGGUAUGAAUGAUGGCCAGGAAGAUUAAUUGUUCACGAGCCAAUUUGAUCAGUGUUAGAUUUUUUGCCUCUCUUUGAAAGAUAUGAUCAUCAAAUUUGAGUAGAGAAUCUUUGAAGAGAAUUUUGUUGUGAGAGUUUCACUGUAGUGAAUUUUGGGAGCUUGAACUCACUUGAGUGAGAUAUUAGAGCGUAUUGGGUAUUCGGGUUAUGAGUAAUAGUUAUCCUUCCAAUAUUUGCAAGCUCUCACUUAUUAGUAAAAUCAUCUUCGUAUAUUGACUCUGUUUCUUUGUUGCCAGGAAGAGUGUGAUCUUCAAGGGUUUGAGGAAGUCUUUGCAGUAAAGUUUCCACCACGAGCAAUUGCUACAAAGAGGCAUAUACAUUUGAGUAAUUUGGUUUCAGAUUUACAAGGCGUGUAUAUUUAAUUAGUUUUGAUUAUCAUAUUUAGUCACUCAUUCUGAAACUUUUCUAAUUUUCAAGUUCCUUAGGACCACCACCAGUGUUUCAAGUCUGCAUAUGGCUGCAAAAUAUUGAUGGUCAUAAAAUUAUCUUGAGCCUUGAGGCAUUGCAUUUGAGCACACACAGAAACAGAGCUAAAGGAAAAGAAGACAAUAGAAGAUGCACUAAAUAUAACAAAAGUAUAUUUCUACUUGUGGUUAUUUUAAUUUUGUUUCUCCUGUCAUCAUAUUUGAUUAAUUCGUUUGAAUUCACACUCUCACACAUUAUUUAAAACCAUCUGCAGGUGGCUUGCAAGCUAGUUAAGUUAAUGCAAAAACAAUACUUUAGACAAAGAUGAGCAAGUUGAAGGCAACAAAUGCAAAUUGAAUUUCCAUCAAUAAUUGUCAGGCUGGGGCAGAUAUUCUUAAAAGGGCAUUAAGCUAUCUUAUGAAAUUGGAAAGUUAUCAUUGCUUGAAUGAAAGCACCAUCUUCUGUUGUCAAGGCUUUCCCCACACGAUGAGAUUCUGUGCUUGUUAUCGGCCCCUUAAUUAUUUAUUAAAUCAGGUUUCUGUUAUCAAGUACAUCAUCUUAUUCACCAUUUUAGCUAUAUAUAAAGAUUAAAAUUUCUAACAGUUGUUUCGGAUUCUUGUGUACUCAGGUUAAUAGGGCAAAUGUCAGAAUGAAGAUUGUUCAGUGCAACCGGUAUAGCAAGGAUGAUAGUGGUGAGGAAGAUUGUUGGCAAGCCAAAUAGAGCCCUCCAUUUUGAGAAAUGUCAUCCUCAAAUUUGAAUUGUUGAGCAUGUGAAGUGAAGCUAAAGCCUUAAUAAUUAGACCUUCCUGUAAAAGUUUCAUUUGAGUGAAUUGAACGUUCUUAGUGAUUUUGGUUGUCAGUGAAUGUUUUCCUUUAAUAUUAAUACACUGUCAUUUCUUAGUAAAUUCUCUUCAUAUCACUUCCUCCUUGUCGUUCUUAUGGAAAUACCUUCCUGUUUGACUUGCAAAAUACAUUACAAAAGCUCCCAAACAGUAUAUUUGAACAGAGUUACCCAUUUUGAGAAUUUUGACUCCCAAAUAAGCCUGCAGAGUGGUGUAUGGUCGGAUUAGCUGCAGGAGCAGUGCAAGAUUCUUGUCAAACUAUCUGGCUGGUAAAAAGACUGUUGUCAAACUUCCUUUUUAUUCCUUUGUUUACUUAUUCGUUAUAAAUAAAGUAAAAUUAGAAUAUUGUUCCGUUUACUGUCUAAGCCGGUCUAACAUUUGUUUAAUUUGGGCAAUUUUUAAUGCCUGACAGGUUACUUCAUAUGCGGCACAAUUUUUACAUUAUUUUUAAUGGCAAUUUUUAAUUCAAUAAAGAAAAGUAUUGUGAAGUAAAAAUUGAAAAGUACAAUCCGUCGAUCAUUUGAUACGUAUUUUUCUUCACAGAACCUCAAUUCAAUAGACAAAAGCUCCUCUUAAUUUUUCUUUUCUAUUUAAAUAAAAGAACAAAAGAAAUUGAUUACGGAGCCAUUAAUUUCCAAGAAUUAAUAAAUGAAAAGGCCCAUAAUUUUUGUUAACCCACCCCACUCUCAAGAAAUAAUUACAAUAAGUUCAAAUUAUUUUUUAAAAAUUGAAAUAAAGAAGAUGUAAUUACAAUAAGUUUGGAGAUUGAAUCAAAUAAAAUAAAAAACCUAAACUAUUAUAUACAAGAACUCUUGAUUCUUGGGGUAUUUUAUUCAUUUUAUAUUAUCAUGGUAAAUUAGUCAAAUAAAACUUAUCUUAAAGCAACCUAAAUGGUCAAAGACACCUAAGUUAAAAAAAUAAAAAAUUAUAUGAAUGAUUUAAUUUAUUGAUUGUCUAUACCUUUUAUUGAUUUAUAUAUUUUAAAAAUAGUAUGAACGUAUUACAAUUAUUUUCUGACAUCAAGGUAGAUUUGUAAAAGAAGUGGGUAGAUUUGUAAAAGAAGUGGAUAGAAAAUAUCCCCGUCCUCAAACAAAUAAAUGAAUUAUCGGUGACGCAUGCUUUUUCCCAACUUUUGUUUUUUACAAUUAUGUAUCACAGUUGUGGAGUAGAAUCAGGGAAAUUAAAAAUGCUAAAAUUAUUGACGCGUGGGGUGGACGACAAUAACCAUAAACAUUUUUCGUGUAGUGUAAGAAGAAUGCAACAACUUGUUUCUUUCAGUAUUUUUGCAACAAAAGUACGUUGAACAACUUUUGAAAUUAUUUCUCUUUUUCUUUGCUAGAAUGGAUGUGAUCGCUUCCCCUCUCCCGGAGCAGCUGAACUCCUUUGCUGCUUGUGACUUACCAUAAAUCUUCAAGCCAUUCAAGCUGUGCUUGAAGAUGCAGAGAAGGCAAGUUGAUAUAAGAUGGUUGCAUGGAAUAAGCAGGGUAUCUUCCGAGGUUAGAAAUUGGGCUACGAGUAUUCGUUUUGGACAUAUAAUAGAGUUUCUAAGCUUGCGAUGAGUCGAACCAAAUGCAGAACAACCUAGGCUGUUAUGCCCUGCGAUUAAGCUAAAAAUUUACUUCAUUUAUAGUCGUUUUUCAGUUUUAAGAUAUUUUUUUAUUUUUCUUGAUUCUUCUAGGAUUUUAAAAUAUUAGAUUUAAGUGCCAUCUAUUUUCUUUCUCUUAUUUAGAUUCGAAGAAUUUUAUUAUCAUAUAAUAUUUUGAAUUUGCUUAGUUUGUUAAAUUUGCCUCCUUUUAGGCUUCUAUAAAUGGGAUUCAAAACCCUAAUUUUGUUCAUUUAAAUUAUUCUCAAUAAAACUUAUUAUUCAAAUCCUGGUUUAUAUUAUCUAAUAGCUUUUUAGUGUUUCUGCAUAAUCAGCUGGUAUCAAAGAAAGUUUGCUUGUCAUCAUGGUGCGAUCACACAAUCAAAGGAGCAAACAUCCCGAAGACAAUGUUUAAGGGAUGUAGGCAACGACUGUGGAGGUUAUCAGAUAGAUGGUCAAAGGAGCAAUCUUGCAAGUCAUGCAGGACGCAUAUAACCUGAGAAUGGUAGCAGACAAAUAUUAGGUUAUCUCUUGUAAGCCAUAUUCAUAAAUGUAUUGAGGGAAAGAUAUUUUUUUCUUGUCUUAAAAGAUGUGUGGGAUGGACGUUACAAUUAAUGGGAACCAUUCUUCUGUUGUUUAAAGAAUGGUCUCUACGAUAGUCAAAUUUUGAUUACUGCAAGUAAUCAGUUAGUAGCAAGCAUGAUGAGAUCAACAAAUCUUACCUUUCUUAAGGAAUUAAUUGAAGAAGAAUGUUGGUAAUUGUUUAAGCAGGUAGCAUUUUUUGGUCAAUUCUUCAAGGAUCGUGAUCAGUCGAUCAAAAAAUUGCAUGUAAGUGCAAAGGCUUGCCUUUUGUUGCAAAGAUAAUAGGGAAAUUCUUACACUAUAAAUGACCAAUAGAAGAAUAGAAAAAAAUUUUAGAUAGUGGAAUGUGGAAGGUAGAAGAGUUUGGGAAAGGUCUUUUGACUCCUUUCUUGUUAAGUUAUAAUGAUUUAUCGUCCAUAGUAAAACAAUAUUUCUCACAUUGUGCUAUCUUUUCAAAAGGUUACAAUAUGUGUAAAGAGGAACUAAUUACACCAUGGAUGGCUCAAAGUUACUUUAAAUGUAGAAGAAGGCAUUGUUUAAAGCAUGGUCUCCACGGAAGUAAAAAUUUGGUUUCCACACGUAAUGAGUCAGUUGCACGUAUGAUGGGAUCAAAAAAUAUUAUCUUCAUUGAGCAAUUGACUGAAGAGGAAUGUUGGUUGUUGUUCAAGCAGUUAGCAUUUUCCGGUCGCUCUUUGGAGGAUGGUGAAAAAUUAGAACCAAUCGUGCAAAAAAUUGCACGCAAGUGCAAAGGCCUGCCUCUUGCUGCAAGGUAACAGGGAAUCUAUAGGGUAUGAUAAAUGCAUAUAUAGUGGCCAAGUCACUCAUUACAUUUCAUCUUGUUGAAAAGUCAGAAGCAAAUGCCAACUUUGCAACUGUUAGCAUGAAGGCUUUGAAGAAGCAAAAUCCAAUUCGGUUUUUGUUAGCCGAAAAGAAAGAAUGGAAAAAGGGGAUGUAUUGAAAAUAAUAAUAAUUAUUUAUUAUAUUUUCAAUUAUUUUAUUCUUUGCAUAGUGCCAACAUUUUUCCUAUAAAUAGUUAAGGAUUUCAUUCAUUUGAAAUCAUCCCAAAAUUGUUAAGCUUAGUUUCUAAGCUUUUGAGAGAAGUGAGAGAAGUGUGUCUGGGGAAUGUAUUUUUCCUGCAGAGUGUGAGAGUACUGGGUAUAUUUGGGUUUCUGGGAAGUGAGAUUCGUUACUCAAAUAUUGUAUUCUAUUAAUUGUUUUGUUAAAUAAACAAUUAUUCUUUCUUGCCUCCGUGGAUGUAGGUUUAAUUACCGAACCACGUAAAUUCUUGUGUCCUUUAUUUUUCAGUAAUUAUUUGGUGCGCUUGAUUCCGCAUUCCGCGCGCACAACAAGUGGUAUCAGAGCCGAAGGUUCGUACUUAGGGGGGAUACGGUACUGUUCAUGUAUACGGUAUUAUAUCCGUAUAUAGUACUAUUCACGUAUAUGGUAUUCUUCACGUAUACGGUACUAUUCACGUAUAUGGUACUGUUCACAGAGGUACUAUUCACGAAUACGGUGGAGACGGCCAUUUGUACUUGGGAGACAGUCUAUUGUAAGUAGUGUGUAUUUUUGCAUGUCUAGGAAAGUUCUGUCAAAAAGGCGAUAAGAGUCUAAGGAUUCUGGUUUUUAAUUGGGACCGGGUUCCCGUCCAGUUUCCUGGGAACUUUCCUGGUGCAUUUAUUCACGCGAAAUUAACAUCAUAGAGGCUGUUUUUCAAGUGGAAAUAGUUCAUUGAGAAAAAUGGUAGAAGGUGAAACUUCCAGAAUUGGGGAGAGAUCUACCGAGACUAUUUCAGGAGACACUUCAGGUGGGAGGCGAGAUUUGUCAAAUCGCUAUUCAGCACCUGUUAUGGGAGGCCAGAAGAUCGAUGUUGAAAAAUUUGAUGGGAAAAUCAACUUCGGCAUGUGGAGGCGCGAAGUUAUGGAUGCCCUUAUUCAAAUCGAUCUUGAUGUUGUUCUGAAAAAUAAAAGACACUUGUAUGAUGAAGAAAUUUGGGAUCGUAUGAAUGAAAAAGCCUGUGGUCAGAUCAGAUCUUGUUUGACCAAGGAGGUGAAAUACUUGGUGAAAGAUGAGGAGUGUGCGAUGACUUUAUGGCUUACAUUGGAGGAGAAGUACCUGGUGAAAAGUCCUGAAAAUCGCCUUCAUGCAAUGAGCCAAGUAUAUGGUUUUCGAAUGAAGCAUGGGGUGUCAAUGCACGAUUAUGUGUCAAGAUUUGAAAAGUUACUUGCUGAUUUGAAGAAUCUUGAUGAAGAUAUUAAAGAUGAAGUCAAGGCUAUGAUUCUGUUACACUCACUACCAGAGGAAUAUAGCCAGUUUGUGACUACUUUGAUAUAUGGGAAGAGUGUGAUCGUCUUCAAAGACGUUUGCACAACAUUGACUAGUUUGGAGAUUCGGAAUAAUGAUAAAAAUUCUGAACGAGCAUCGUCUGAAGCUUUGGUGAGCAGAGAUUGGGCGAUGGAGAAAAAGAAGAAGCGUGGUGGAAAGAAUUCUCGAUCCAAAUCGAGAAGCAGAAAUCUAGCUCGUGAUGAGUGUGCCUUUUGUCAUGAAAAGGGCCAUUAGAGGAAAGAUUGUCCAAAGGCUAAAAAGAGAGAUGGGAAGAAACCAGCAGCAGCAAACAUGGCACGGAAAGAUGAGGAUUCUGAUUAUUCACUAAGUAUCACUCCUGCAGCAUGUGUGGCUAAUUCGAGCGAGUGGAUACUUGAUACUGGAGCAACCUAUCAUUUGUGUCCUAUUAAGGAAUGGUUUGCAGAUUUUCGUAAUCUAGAAUCCGGUGCAGUUGUGAUGGGGAAUGAUAAACCUUGUCGCACAAUGGGGAUAGGAACAAUUCGGCUCAAAAUGUUUGAUGGAAUGGUCAGGGAACUCAAAGAGGUUAGAUUUGUUCCAGAGAUAAAGAAAAAUCUAAUUUCUGUGGGUGCUUUGGAAGAUAAAGGCUACAAGGUUACCAUUGAAGAUGGUACAAUAAAGUUUACACAUAGAGUUAUGGUGAUUCUGCAAGGGGUUCGGCGUCACAAUCUGUACUAUUUGAAGGGAGGUACACCUGAUGAAGCAAAUGUUGUUGAGGCGCACAGUGACACCACCAAGCUAUGGCAUGUACGACUGAGACAUGCAGGAGAGAAGUCUUUGCAAAAUCUGAUGAGGCAUGGACUCUUAAAAGGUACCAAAACCUGUAAAUUAAAUUUCUGUGAGCAUUGUGUAGUAGGCAAGAAAACAAGGGUCAAGUUUGGUACAGCUAAUCACGAAACUCGUGAGAUCCUUGAAUAUGUUCAUAGUGAUGUAUGGGGACCAACCAAGACUGCAUCAAUUGGUGGAAGCCAUUAUUUUGUUAUAUUUGUUGAUGAUUUCUCUAGAUGUGUAUGGGUGUACACCAUGCGAGCAAAGGAUGAGGUUCUAGAGAUUUUCGUGAAAUGGAAGAAAUUGGUGGAGACUCAAACUGGCAAAAAGAUCAAAGUAUUACGAUCUGAUAAUGGGGGUGAAUAUACUUCUGAUCCAUUCUUGCAAGUAUGCCAGAACGAGGGUAUUAAAAGACAUUUCACGGUGAGACAUACUCUGCAACAGAACGGUGUGGCUGAGCGUAUGAAUCGUACUUUACUGAAGAAGGUACGGUGUAUGUUAUCUAAUGCUGGUUUAGAUAAAAAGUUUUGGGCUGAAGCUGUGAGCUACGCAAGUCACUUGGUAAACCGAUUGCCUUCUGCUGCAAUUGGAGGUAAAACUUCUAUGGAAAUGUGGUCUGGAAAGCAUGCACAAGACUAUGAUUCCCUUCGUAUAUUCGGGUGUCCAGCUUAUUAUCAUGUCAAAGAUGGUAAACUGGAUCCUCGUGCAAGAAAAGCUAUCUUUGUGGGAUUCAAAGGUGGAGUAAAGGGCUUCAAGCUUUGGGAUCUCGAAGACAAAAAGUUUGUGUGUAGUAGAGAUGUCACAUUUGAUGAAGCUUUAAUGAUAAAAGCUUCAAGUUCUCAGCAGGUGGAGAACAAGACCACAGAGGUAUUGCAGCGGGUGGAGUUUGAUGCAACUCCAUAUGUACUAGUUAGUUCUACAUCAAAGAAUAGUUCAACUAUGGAGGUGACACCUAGAGUUAAAGAAGAGGUUGUUUCUUCUGAUGUCCCACAAAAUGAAGAAACAAUUGAUGAUGAUUUUAUAGCAACAAGGAGGCCAAGAAGAGAGAUAAAGAAACCCGGAUGGCUUACUAAAGAUAUGGUGGUAGCCUAUGCACUUCCAGUUAUUGAUGAUGACAUCCCCAACACUUUCGGUGAAGCAUUACGCAGCAGUGAAAGUGAUCAGUGGAAGCUAGCCAUGGAGGAAGAGAUGAAAUCUCUCCAUCAAAAUCAGACUUGGGAACUUGUAAAGUUACCAAAGCGGAAAAGGGCUAUUGGCAAUAAAUGAGUCUACACCAAAAAGCAAGGAUCUCCGAAUCAAACAACUCCUCGAUAUAAGGCAAGGCUCGUGGCAAAAGGUUUUGCUCAAAAGGAAGGUAUUGACUACAAUGAAGUUUUCUCUCCAGUUGUAAAACAUACUUCCAUUCGUAUCCUACUUGCCUUAGUUGUAGAAUAUGAGUUAGAGUUGGCUCAGUUGGAUGUGAAGACGGCGUUCUUACAUGGAGAUUUGGAGGAGGAAAUCUAUAUGAUUCAGCCUUGUGGUUUCAAAGUUGCUGGAAAAGGAAAAUCGUGUUUACCGAUUGAGUAAAUCUUUAUACGGAUUAGUAUGAACUACGGUUGGCUUGAUCCCAAACUUUGGGUACGUAGGCAGUCGGAUAGAUGCAGCCAAUGUGGAUCCUUUUGAGGAUCAUGUGGGGGAUGUUUGGAACUACGGUAGGCUUGAUCCCAACCUUGGGGUACGUAGGCAGUCGGAUAGAUGCCAGCCAAUGUGGAUCCUUUUGAGGAUCAUGUGAGGGUUCGUUGGUAGUCGGCUCAGAUUUGGCUAAAUCUUCGCCGAGGUGGAGAAUUGUUGAAAAGUCAGAAGCAAAUGCCAACUUUGCAACUGUUAGCAUGAAGGCUUUGAAGAAGCAAAAUCCAAUUCGGUUUUUGUUAGCCGAAAAGAAAGAAUGGAAAAAGGGGAUGUAUUGAAAAUAAUAAUAAUUAUUUAUUAUAUUUUCAAUUAUUUUAUUCUUUGCAUAGUGCCAACAUUUUCCCUAUAAAUAGUUAAGGAUUUCAUUCAUUUGAAAUCAUCCCAAAAUUGUUAAGCUUAUAAGUUUCUAAGCUUUUGAGAGAAGUGAGAGAAGGGUGUUUGGGGAAUGUAUUUUUCCUGCAGAGUGUGAGAGUACUGGGUAUAUUUGGAUUUUUGGAAAGUGAGAUUCGUUACUCAAAUAUUGUAUUCUAUUAAUUGUUAAAUAAACAAUUAUUCUUUCUUGCCUCCGUGGAUGUAGGUUUAAAUUACCGAACCACGUAAAAUUCUUGUGUCCUUUAUUUUUCAGUAAUUAUUUGGUGCGCUUGAUUCCGCAUUCCGCGCGCACAACACAUCUCUCAUAUGAACAUGAUUCUGAAUUUGAAUUUCCAUGAAUAAUUGUUGGGCUGGUGCAGAUAUUCUUAAAAGGGCAUUAAAGCUACCUCAUGAAAUUGGAAGUUAUCAUUGUUGAAUGAAAGCACCAUCUUCUGUUUNNNNNNNNNNNNNNNNNNNNNNNNNNNNNNNNNNNNNNNNNNNNNNNNNNNNNNNNNNNNNNNNNNNNNNNNNNNNNNNNNNNNNNNNNNNNNNNNNNNNNNNNNNNNNNNNNNNNNNNNNNNNNNNNNNNNNNNNNNNNNNNNNNNNNNNNNNNNNNNNNNNNNNNNNNNNNNNNNNNNNNNNNNNNNNNNNNNNNNNNNNNNNNNNNNNNNNNNNNNNNNNNNNNNNNNNNNNNNNNNNNNNNNCCAAAUAGAGCCCUCCAUUUUGUAAAAUAACAUCCUCAAAUUUGAAUUGUUGAGCACAUGAAGUGAUGAUAAAGCCUUGAUAAUAAGACCUUCCAAUGAAAGUUUCAUUUGAGUGAAUUAUGGGAGAAUGAAAGUUCUUGGAAUGAGUGAGAAAUUAAGCAUAUAUCAGCGAUUUGGGUUGUCAGUGAAUGUUUUUCUUUAACAUUAGUACACUCUUAUUUCUUAGUAAAAUUCUCUUCACGUCUUUGACUGUGACGUAGACCAAAAGCUAAACAAUGUAAAAUUAUAUUGUUAUUUCCUUAUGCUUGUUUUGCUAUAUAUCAUUUCUGUGCAAUCAAGAAUGUAAUUUUGUAAUUAUUCAACUCUGCUUCCGCGAACAUGCGGUAUCUUGCAGAUUUUUUUUCUCCCUUUUUCUUUCUGCGUUAAAACUGCAACAAAUGGAAGUGACUGGCUUGAUUUUAGCUCCUGUAAAAAAGUGCCUGGGGCAAUGUCUUUUGUAUCAGCAAGUUAUCAAACAUCAUAGUUUAAAUAUAGAAUCCUGAGUUGCUAUCGAAAAUUCCAGGUCUUUCACCUCUCAGUUUCUUAAAAGCUACAAAGCUUGAUAGAUAUUGACAAAGCAAACCGUCUGCGGGCUGAAAUGCUUCCACGGAUCAGGAAGGAAUUUGGUGUUGACACUAUAUGUUAUGCGGAUAACUACAGUUGAUAGUUUUGACCCAAAAUAUGUCACAGUUGACAAUUGACUUACAGUGUUUCCUUGUGUUACCAGGCUCUCAUGUGUGAAUUGAAAGAUUAAGAAAGAUUAAUUCUUACUGACUUAUGCAAUUGAAGAUUAUGAAAAAGCAUUUGCACUAAAGUUCCCAGCUUGUUUAAUUGCUGUGAAGAGGCACAUUCAUUCUGAGUACUUGAGUUUCAGAUUUCCAAGAUGUGUAAUUUUAGUUGCCAUUGAAGUAUUUAGUCGCUCAUUCUUAAAAAUCUGUUCCAAUUUUCCUGUUAUUUUGGGCCAUAAACAGUUUAACAAGUCUGCAUGUGGUUUCUAAAGAUUGAUGGUUAUGAUAAAUAUUGUGAGGUAUGAAAUAUUAAAUUGCUAUAAAUAUGUGUACAAAUUUUUCCUAUUACAUUGGGAAUGAAAUUGUAACUUGCGGGUCAAAAGAAAUCCUAAUUUGCUUUAGGUAAGAAAUCUUAAUUUGCUUAAGUGUCUGCAUUUGUGUACAAAGGAAAAAUAAGAAAUUCUGCUACAUGGGGACCGAAAAUUUAAUUGGCAGGGUCUUCAUCAAAUGUUUGUUAUCAAUACUGAUCCCGGAAUGUAUGGAACACCGUGAAAAGUUUUUCAUAGUUUCGUGAAGAAGGCUGAUUUAUCUGAUUCAUAGAUUUGUUAAAAGCGCAUCGGGCGGGGGACAAAAGAAGUGUUGAAAUUGAAAAGGUUAAUGGUUGAAGCAUGCAGUGUUGCAAUUAAGUUAUUAUUGUCUUGAAAUAACAGGAGAUGAUAAGAUGCUGCUUAAAGCAUGCAGUUUCUGUUACAAUUGUAUUGGCCUGGGUUUAGGGAACUGUCAGAACUUUCAGAAGAAGAUGGAGUUUCUCAAACCAAAUCUAAGAAGAUAUCUCACAUUCCCCACAUGGUCUCAACGCACAGGUAAGUUUCUUCUCGAGCUCUGUUUUUCAUUGUUCGUUAUUUUUAAUGUAAAUAAGGAGCAGAGUUAAUCUCUUAUCUUGACUUUGCUUUGAGAAAACUACUAUUAUAUCUAUUUUUAAUUCACAUGUCCACAGUAAUUUCAUUCUAGUUUGAGCUGAGUGAUAACUGUUCAAGGCUCACUUACUCAUUGGGAGAAGCUCCAUGAUGCAGGCUGCUAGGAUUAGCUUGUACAAUUGCUGUGAAGAGGUACGUUUGGUUGCGAUCAAAAUUAUUAGUCUCUUGUUCUUAAUGUUUUCUGAUUUUCCAGUUCUUUAGGGGCCAUAAACAGUUUUCCAAGUACUGCAUGUGGCGGCAAAAGAUUGAUGGUGAUAAUUCUAUCUUGUGGCAUGUGUGUUGCAUUUGAGCACACGCAGAAACAGAGCUCAAGGGAAAGAAAUUGGAAGAUGCUCUAAAUAUAACAAAAGUAUAUCUCUACUUGCGGUCAAUUUAUAUUUGUUUCUUGUGUCAUUAUGCAGAUUAAUUUAUUCGAAUUUAUCCUAUCUCAUUCAUUUAUUUUGGACAUAAGUUCGAAAAAAAAAAAUUUUAAGCAUACAGUUUCCAAUGGAUUUGAUAGAGUGGUCACAUGGCAUUUUGAUGUUGUUGGAGUAGCACUGUUCUUAAGCACGGCUUUGAGGUAUCUCCCUCUCUCUUUUACGUAUUUGUUUAUCGAUCUACAUCUCUAUAUGCAUUGAUAGACUAUUCUUGCCGUACAAAAUUACUCUUGUUUUAGUGUUUUGUUUGUUGAACUUUGACUGGGGAAUCUGUCUCUUUGUCUGAUAUGAUGUUAGUGUAUUGAAGUGUGUUAGAUCUAUCACCGAGUAUUAUUUCAAUUUUUCUUUACUUAAUCAACUUGCAUCCUUUCCAAGUCCAGAUCCUUAACAAUAGUGAGACUUCGCUACAGAAGCACAAUUUCUCUUGUUUUACAGUUAAAUAUGCAAGAAUGGUUUUAAAUUAACAGAACGCUUGAGAUAGUUCUCUGAGGAAAUGCAAGUGGUGAACAUGGUUCCAACUUUUAAGAGCCUUAAUAUACCCAUUUGUUCAGCGCUGUGUGUAAACAAUCAGUAUUGCGGUUUACAUUCUUCUUUACUGCCUAUAUGUCUUGGACUUUGUCUCAAAUGGAUUCCAUGCGGGGUUUUGAAUGUCCAAUUAGGAGAAAAAUCAAGGCUUGCUUGGCCAGGAGUGGAAGCGGAUCCGCUACUUCAGUCAGAUGAACUUUUGAAGAAGGCUUACAACAGGCCAUCUCGGGAUGUCAAUGGCUCAACUCAAAAGUCAUUGAUGUCAAAGAAUGCCAUUGUCUCCGGGCUUGGGCUCCUUGGCAUCAAACAAGGGAAUGUCGACUCUGUUGAAGGGGAAACAAGGGCUCCUAAAGUGCGAAGACAGAGGAUAGUCCGGAAGAAUUAAGGUGACCGCAUAAAUUUCUUGGAGUUAAUCUUGUCAAUUGCCCAAUUUUGCUGCCUGCCGAACAGAUACAACGCGGAAGUCCUCAUCAAACCUUUGAGACAUCCAAGAACUAGUAGGAGGAGGUGGUAUUCACCCUGUUUCCUGGCAAGUAUAGUUCACUACUUCACUGAUAGAGGGAUUCUUUUCUUGAUUUCUAAAUACCAUAUGUGAUACAACGUGGUAUAUUCCAAUUUUUCUCCAGUUAAAUUCUAGUAAGUUAAAAAAGUUAAUUUUGUUUUUGCGACGAAUUGUUCUCUUAAUAAUAAUAAUUGCAUGUUGCUUUGGAAUCUUAUUCACUCUCAGUAACCCAAUUAAAUUUUGCAAAAUUUACUGCAGAUUUGUCAAACAGUGUCUUUGUGAUGACACUUUUGAUCGCAAAUUUCAAUUUGAAGUAUCAUGUAACACCAAAAAACCAUAACUUGUAAUUACUUGAUCAUACUUGACUUCCUAUUUAGGUUCUGUUUGGAAUUGAAGUGUUGUAGCUACAACUAUCUUGUGGAAAAAAAAAAGUUAGAAUUAUGAAACAAAAGUUAAUAAUAUGUAGUAAAUAUAAAUUUUAAAUAAUUAUUUUGAUAAAAUUAUUAAAGAUAUAAUAGAUUUUCCAUCAUAUAAGUGAAAAAUUAGAUCAACAUAACUUCUAAAUUAUAGCAAUUAGUGUUUACCAAAUACUUUAGUACUGUAACUUUUAAGUUACAGUUGUACAAUUUCAAUUCCAAACACGCCCUUAGUACUACUGUGUUGUAGUUAUAGUUAUUGUGAAAAAAGAACUAAAACUAUAAUAUAAAUGUUGAUCGUGUGUCAUAUAUAUGAUUUUUAAAUAAUAAUUUUGACAAAAUUAAUAAAUAUAUUAUUGAUUCUUUUAUACUCCCGGUUUAAUUUUUAAGUCACAAUAUUAAAUAUUUAUUAAAUAUUUUGAUACUGUAACUUAAAAACUAUGCUCUACGACACUCUUAUCUAAUUUUAUUUGUACUUUCUAGCUCGAUUAUACAAAUCCUUACUUGAUGUACUUGACCAUACAAGAUGUUACUUAACUUCACUUAAUCUUACUCGACUUUAAUUGUAUAUUUUAUACCGAAAUUUUUGUCAAAAAAAAUUGGUCCCAAUUCCAUGCUCCUUCGGGGAUCCCAGCAAAACAGUAACUUCCAUUCAAAAGGGUUCCAUGUUGAGUGCAUGUAAUCUACACAAGUUUGAGAAGAAAUAACCAAAAUAAAUAAAUAAAAGAAACCCACGUCCAAAGAUGCCGUUGAAAGUUGAAACAAAAAUUUAUUAUUGAUACGAGAAAAGAGUUUAUUAUUUUCUUAACAAAAAUUUAAGCUAAGACAAAAAUAAUGCCCAAAACACCCUUCUCAUGAUCCCAAACUUUCUAAACUCCCCCAUUCCUCUGAGCAUCAUCUCUCCCAAAUCUUUCUUCCCCCACAACCAGCCAUGGCUUCAAAUUCAAUUAGCUCAACACUCCAAUGUUGCUUGUAAGCCACCCACAAAUCCUCAACUUCACAUGGACUCAAAACCAAACCCUAGCUUCCUUCCCACACAUCCUCAUUAUCUUCAUCGUUACUUACCUCCCUCACAUCCAUCCUCUGCCACACAUCAACAUCAACAUCAACAUCACCAUCAUCAUCACCUCUCAUUGGACCCCACAUUCUCAGAUCCAUCACAGCCAUCCAUAAUCUCACCCUCCUCCUCUUCUCCCUCAUCAUGGCCGCUGGUUGCACCCUCUCGAUCAUCCUCCACUCACCUCACCUCCACUACUUCCCCUGUUUCCCCCCUACCAUUUCUCCCUCCGGCCCCCUCUGCUUCUACGCUUACGUUUUUAACUCUAAAAAAUACUCGAAUUCCCAGACACCCUUUUGAUCAUUUUGUCAAACUCCAUCCAACGGCUCACGUUCCUCCACGUCUACCACCAUGCAACCGUCGUUGUAAUGUGCUACAUUUGGUUACAGACGAAGCGGUCUUUGCUUCCUAUUGCGCUUGUUACCAGUGCAAGUGUGCAUGUGAUCAUGUACGGGUACUAUCUAUUGUGUGUUCUGGGGUUGCGGCAGAUUGGUCACUGAUUGUCAGAUUGUUUAGUUUUGCUGUUUUGGUACUGAUGCUGAAUUAUCAUUUCACGGGAUUUGGUUUCCCUGGGAUUUGGGGUUGGUGCUUCAAUGCUGUGAUUAAUGCCUCCCUUUUGGCCCUUUUUGUUAAUUUUCAUUACAAGAGCAUAGAAGUAAAUAAUUGAAUUAACUAUUAUUAUCUACAUUAAUGUGAUGGAACACAAGCCACAUCAACUAGAAUUAGAUUAUGAAUUUUAGCAGCCCCAGCAAAAAACAUUUAUGAAAGANNNNNNNNNNNNNNNNNNNNNNNNNNNNNNNNNNNNNNNNNNNNNNNNNNNNNNNNNNNNNNNNNNNNNNNNNNNNNNNNNNNNNNNNNNNNNNNNNNNNNNNNNNNNNNNNNNNNNNNNNNNNNNNNNNNNNNNNNNNNNNNNNNNNNNNNNNNNNNAUGGGCCUAAGUCUUUGAUUUUUUAUUUUGUUAAUUUUUUUUUAUUUUUUACUUGCAAUAGUAACUUCAAUUAUGAAUCAAAGUCGCCAAAUCAAAAUCGCUGCAGCCUGUAGCUACAAGCAAAAUUCUCAAUUAUUGAUCAGAAAGCUAGCCCCAGACGGUGACUCCUGUGGGGACUCCUUUAAUUUGCAGCACAAAACAACGUUCACAUUGACAUUGACUUGAGGGUAAAAAUUAAAUAUCUCCUAUUAGUAUAAGAAGAAUGCAAACAUGCUUGAAUCAACAUUCUCACAGAAUCACUAAAUUCUCAAAUUUUGAAAUACCUAACAAUUACAUACUAGCUAUAAAUAAAUAAAUAAAAAAUUGUCUAAAAUUAAUUCCCAGCUAACACUUGAAAUUUGAAUUUGGGCCUCAUGAAGAUUUACCCCGAGCUCUACCCCUGGAUAUGGAACAAAAUAUUAUUAGUUUUGCUAGUGAAAUUGCCAAUUAUGUUUUUGUUUUGUAUUUUCCGCUUAGGGAAGAAGAAAUUUCCUACAAAUUUUGUGGUGAAUAUCUUGUGAAUAUAUGACAGUUUAAUCUUUAGUCACCACUUGUUUAAAAUAAAAAAGAGAAAAGGAUAUCUAUAUCCCCAUGGUUUGGAGAAAUAGUCACCAACACCCCAAGUUUUCUAAAAAUGACAUCAAGACUCUCUUUUGACCAUAAUACUCUUUACCUUUAGUAUCCCGAAAAAUUUAACUUGCAAAUUUUUAGUAAACACAAAUAUUAUAUAAAUAAUGUAAUCUAUGUAGUAGAUUAAUAAUAUUAAAAUAAAUUUAAAUAUGUAAAUUAUUAUAUUUAUUUUAAUAAUAUAUUUGUAUUUAUUGUAGAGAUUUUAAAUAAAUAUUUGCAUUAAAUACAUUUUACAAUUAAAAAAGUCUCACAUACUAAUAAUAUUAAAAUUAUUAUUUUUCAUAAUAAUUUAAAUUUUAAUACAUUUAUUUUAAUAUUAUAUUUCUAUUUAUUAUAAAAAAAAUUAAAGUUAACUUUUGGGAUAAUAAAAGUAAAGGGUAUUGUAGUAAAAAAUGAGUUUUAGUGUCUCUUUUUGAAAACUUAGGACUUGGAAGCGUUGGUAACUAUUUUUCCAAAAUUUGGAGAUAUAGAUAUCCUUUUCCUAACAAAAAAUGACAUUUUUGAUAGGAGAUAUAAUAAGUUUUGUUCCUUAAAAAAAUCCAUCAGAUAUAUUAUGCCCCCGGUUGCUAUUGUUAAAAACAAGUAAUUCUUCUUUUUGUAUAUUAAAAUAGUAAAAGGGUGGAUAAUAUUUAAAAUAUUUUUUUAACCUUUUAUCUUUUUUGACAUUCGAAUUUUAAACUCGAGAAGUCAACCAAAUAGACUUCUUGAGAGGUUAACUAAAUUCUUAGUAAUUUAAUAUAAUAUCAUAACCGUUCUUCAAAAGCAAUUUUAUAAAUCAUUGUGGAAAAAUUUUAUUCCUUAGUUAUCUUUCGCAUAUUUUAAUUCUUUGUAAUAUGAGGUAAGUCCGUAGACAAUAGUAUGAUAUUUAUUAAAAUCAUUAUGGGACAGAUUUUAUUCUUUUUUUUUUUCUCAACAAAGUAUCCGACUGUAGAUAUAAUAAAUUACUAAUUAAAAUUAUUCGAGUCACACUCUAAAUUAGAUUUUAAAGUUUGUCAUGACAUAAUAAAGUUACAUUCUCAAAUGACCAAAUCAAUUAAUGAGAUAAUGGCUUUUGCUUUUGCCUACCUGACAAAAAGAUGUUGUCGGCCAAGUUGAAAAAUAUAGUAAAUAAAUUUCACUUGCACGUUCCAGAUCGAUCACAUACAAAUUUGUACUGAAAUUCAUAAUGGAUUAAUAUGAUUGGGCGAAAUUACUCCAUAUAAUUUCAUCAAUACCUAUUAAACGAUAAAAAAUUUAUUAAUAUUUAUAAUUAAAAAAAUCUAUCCACUAAGACUAUUCUAGAUCAACAAUUAAUAUAUUAUAUAUAACUUCAAAAGGUUCAUCGGUGGAUUGAUUUAAGCCCUUUGUUGUAGUUUAUAAAUAUUUUGUUGCUUAUAAUGUAAGAAAUUUUAUAGGAGCUGAUGCUGAGUAGUCUGAAUAAGAAAAUUAAUUAUAUUUAUAAGUUAUUGGGUAUCCAUAAUAAAAUAAACAAAUAAAAAAUGAAUAAAAAUUUAAAUACUUAAUUAAUUUUUAUCAAAUUCUUAUCAAAUAUUUAAAAAAGUAUAUAAAAUCAAUUAAUUGAUGGUAUUAUUAAUUUUCAUGAUGAUUUUUAAUAUUAUAUUAGUGAUUAUUAAAUUUAAUACAAUCAAUAAUGCAAGAAAUGAUUAAAUGGUCAAUUUUAUUGACAAAUUAUCAAAUAUGCAAAGUAAUGAAAAAUUAAUCUCAAGAGUUAGUAGAAGUAAAGUUCCAAUUUAAUCAGAUGAUAGAUAAUAAAGUUCCACUACUGUGUGAUAUCGAUGAAGUCGCAAAAUUAGUCUAAUUCCAUACUUAAUCCUAGUAUCCGAACAUGGCCUGAUAAAAUAGUUUAGGUAAUAUACUUCUAUGACUCACAAUUUAAAUAAAUUUGAGAAUUUAUAUAAGGGAUGGAAAAUUCACAAUAAUCAUAACAUGUGCUAUCUUUUCUUCCUUUUCUUAAUUAAACACGAUGAAGUCGCAUGAAGUCGAUGAAGUCAAUAACCACUGCUGUGUGAUAUCGAUGAAGUCGCAUUCGCCUACCUAAUAUUGCGCAAUUAGAUAGAAAAAACGGUCGGCUGCAUGAUUUUUCCAACUUUUGUCUUAUUUUUCUCUUUUCCACGACAAAUUAAUUUGAGAAUGUUACAUUUUCCAAUUCUCUUUUUGUCGUGACCUAAUAGACUAAAACGGAAUCACAUACUUUUUCAAAUGACCAAAUGGCUUUGGCCUACCUGAUAAUAAAAGGAAUGGAUCCAUACGUUAGUAUGGAUAAAUUGAAAAAUAUAAUAAAUAAAUUGUCAGGAGACGAUUUUAUCAAAAAUUUCACUCGCACGGUCCCGACCAAAUACAAAUUUGUGAUGAUAUUCAUAAUGAAUUACUCUAUACAGUUUCAUCGAUAUAUAUUAUACCAUUAAAAAUAUACUACUAUUUAUAAUAAAAAAAAAUUAUGACUAUUCUAAAUCGACUGUAUUAUAUGUGAAUUCACAAGAUUCAUAGAUAGAUUGCACUGAGCUUUUUGUUGCAGUUUACAAAUAUUUUGUUACUAAUUAUCUUAGGAGCGGCAAGUAACUAAAUACAAAUGUAAGAAAUUUUACAAGUUGCUGAUGCUGUGUACUCCGCAGAAAGCUAGCCCCAGACGGUGACUCCUGUGGGGACUCCUUCAAUUUGCAUCACAAAAGAACGUUCACAUUGACAUUGACUUGAGGGUAAAAAUUAAAUAACUCCUAUGGUACGUAUAAGAAGAAUGCAAACAUGUUUUUUUUUUUUUUUUGAUUACAUGAGACUAUUGCUCAAAUUACAGUUCAAAUUACAACUCAUAUUACAUGAGAGUAUAAUUGAUAUGUACAAUCAUAUAUUUAUACUGAGCCCUAUUGAUAUGAAUACUGAUAUGACAUCGCUCAGAUUUUUAACCCUCUCAAAUAUUCGAGGGAUGUCAAACUCCCAUCCUGGGAGAAAGACUGUCUUCACUCGAGCUCAAGGGCUCCAAGAAAGAAUAUUUAAAUUAAACCCCUACAAUGCGACUGCGGAGGCUCGAACCCCUUCCCUCACAUUUGUGAGGGAGGGGCUCUAGCCACUUGGGCUAAGCCCAAGUGGUUAGAAUGCAAACAUGCUUGAAUGAACAUUCUCACAGAAUACAUAAAACCUACUUUCCUCUGAGCAUUUUAGCAGCAAGAAAAGCAAUUGCAGCAUUUACCAUUUGAUCUAAUAUCAGAAUGGCUCAUGCGAUCGUUUCCUCUCUCCUGGACCAGCUGAAAUCCAUUGCUCAAGAUCAGGUGAAAGAAAAGUGGAGGCUUGUCACGGGUGUCGAACAUGAAGUGGGAAAGCUUACCACCAAUCUUCAAGCCAUUCAAGCUGUGCUGGAAGAUGCAGAGCAGAGGCAAAUGAAGCAGGACAAAGCUGUUACUUUUUGGCUGGAUCAGCUCAGAGACGCAUCCUACGACAUGGAAGAUGUGUUGGAAGAGUGGAUCACUGAAACACGGAAAUUGCAGCUUGAUGAGGGAGGCGAUGAUGAUGAUGAUGAUGAUAACGACAGUGCUUUUGUUACUUUUUUGACGAAGGUAUGUUCCUUCUUUCCUGCUGCCUCAAACUGCUUUGGUGGUUUCAAACAACUCAGUCUUCGUCAUCAUAUUGCUGUCAAGAUUAGAGAAAUCAGUAAAAGGCUAGAUGAAAUUGCCACUCGAAAAGAUAGGUUUAAUUUUGUUGAGAAUGUGAGUAACAAUGUUAGGAAUCCAGAGCGAGUGCGAACCAUCUCCUUGAUUGAUGAGGGAGAGGUUUGCGGUAGAGUUGAGGAGAAAAAUGAGCUCUUAAGCAAGUUGUUGUGUGAAAGUAGUGAACAACAAAAAGGCCUUCAUGUCAUUUCACUAGUUGGGUUGGGGGGUAUAGGUAAAACCACUCUUGCACAAUUGGCGUAUAAUAAUGAUGAGGUGAAAAGAAAUUUUGGCAAAGUUAUAUGGGUGUGUGUAUCAUACACUUUUGAGGAGAUUAGGGUCGCCAAAGCAAUCAUUGAAGGUCUAGGCGUGUCAGCUUCUGGUUUAAGCGAAUUCGAAUCUCUUAUGAAACAGAUUCAGAAAUAUAUUACGGGGAAGAAAUUUUUUCUUGUUUUAGAUGAUGUGUGGGAUGGAGAUUACAAAAAAUGGGACCCAUUCUUUUCUUGUCUAAAGAAUGGCCACCAUGAAAGUAAAAUUCUAAUUACCACACGUGAUAGGUCAGUUGCACUGCAGUUGGGAUCAAUAGAUAUUAUCCCUGUCAAGGAGUUGGGUGAAGGGGAAUGUUGGUUACUGUUUAAGCAGAUAGCAUUUCUACGUAGGUCCUUUGAGGAUUGUGAAAAAUUAGAACCAAUCGGGCGAAAAAUUGCAUGUAAGUGCAAAGGCCUGCCUCUUGCUGCAAAGGUAAUAGGGAAUCUCUUGCGCUCUAAAAGUACAGUAAAAGAGUGGCAAAGAAUUUUAGAGAGUGAAAUGUGGAAAGUAGAAGAGAUUGGGCAAGGUAUUUUGGCUCCUUUGUUGUUGAGUUAUAACGAUUUACCCUCCAAUUCUAUGGUAAAACGGUGCUUCUCAUAUUGUGCUGUCUUUCCAAAAGACUACAAUAUGAAGAAAAGGGAAUUGAUUAGUCUAUGGAUGGCUCAAGGUUACCUUAAUGCAGAUGAAGAUGAAGAAAUGGAGAUGAUUGGAGAAGAGUAUUUCAACAUCUUAGCAACACGCUCUUUCUUUCAAGAGUUUGAAAAAUAUUAUGACAAUGAUGAUAUUAUGAGUUGCAAGAUGCAUGACAUAGUACAUGAUUUUGCUCAAUUUGUAAGUAGCAAAGAAUGUUUGUGGCUAGAAAUUAAUGGUACCAAGGAAUCAGUCAUAAACUCUUUUGGUGACAAAGUCCGUCACUUAGGGUUAAAUUUUCAAGGAGGCACUUCAUUUCCUAUGUCCAUUCAUGGACUUAAUAGAUUGCAUACCCUAUUAAUUUAUGACCAAAGUCCUGUCAAUUCGUCUCUUAACAGUAGCAUCCUUCGGGAGUUAUUUAGUAAAUUGGCAUGUUUAAAGGCAUUAGUUAUAAGCCAAUAUAACACUUUAGGUUUGCAUCCUGAGACAGAAAGGAUUAGAGAAAUUCCAGAAAAUGUUGGAAAAUUGAUACAUUUAAAAUAUCUUAAUUUGUCUGAAUUAGUCAUAGAGAGACUACCUGAGACUUUGUGUGAAUUAUAUAAUUUACAAAAGCUAGAUAUUAGGCUGUGCCGAAAUCUUAGAGAAUUGCCAGAGGGGAUUGGGAAGUUAAUGAACAUGAGGAGUUUACUGAAUGCUGAAACUCGUUCGUUGAAGUACAUGCCAAUAGGGAUUUCCAAAUUAACCAGUCUUCGAACAUUAGAAAAGUUUGUUGUGGGUGGAGAUGUUGAUGGUGGCAGCACGUGUAGGCUUGAAUCUCUGAAAAAUCUUCAACUCCGUGGUAAAUGUAGUGUACAAGGGCUGAGUAAUGUAUCGCAUGUAGAUGAGGCUGAGAGGUUACAACUUUACAAUAAGAAAAACCUCCUUCGUUUGCAUCUUGAGUUUGGUAGAGUCGUAGAUGGGGAAGGCGAAGAAGGGAGGAGGAAGAAUAUUGAGAAAGAUAAACAACUUCUUGAAGCCU